CUAAUUUGGCUGUACAAACACAAAGAUAAGCUGUUGCUAUUGCAAAUGUAGAUAUGUGAGAAGAAGAAUCAAACUUUUCAUUUUCGAUCUUCUUGUUCAAGAUCCAUUCCUUUAGCUUUUGAAUGUUUUGGUGUGUGAAUUCUAAAGUGCUUCUAACUAAACCAUGUUUUGUUUGGGGGAAUUUAAGGUUUAGGCUUUUGUUGUUGGGUCCUUCCGCAUCUUUCCAUGCUUUUGCAUAGAUUUUUGCAAGAUCUUUUGGAUCAUUUAUAACUGACCUAUUAUAUAAUGGCACUUGUUUGGGGGUUGGUACAGAGGAUUCUUCCAUGCAAAUUUGAGCCCAUGAUUUGAUAAAUGAAGUUGAGCUUCUUCCAUCGAAGAUUGCAUGGUGAUUGGUUAUUCCAAUCGAAAAACCUUUGUUUUGAAAUUUGGUUACCUAUAUAUUGAGAAUAUAAAUAAUUAAUUAAUUGUUACCUUCCAACUAUAGCAAUCAAAUUUAAAGUGUUUACAAAUAUAAUACAAUCCAAAGUUAUAUAUAUAGCAAAACGUUGAAAUAACCAAUCACUAAUCAAUUAAUAAUAGUCGUCUAUUAAUAAUAGUCUAUUACUAAUAUUGGAAACAUAAAUAAUUAAGUGAUUGGUACAAUUGCAAGUAUUCCAAGAUCUAUAUUUGGAUUUUAUAAUCUAUCUAGCUAUUAGUGAUAUUUUAGAGAUAUUACAAGUCUAUUACUAGUAAUAUUCUAUCAAUGAAAGAAAUAAUGUAUUACUAAUGGAGAAAUUUAUAACGAGAAUGUCUAUCAUUGAUAAAUAUUUUACAAUACCUGUAUAAUUCAACUUUAACGCAUGGUUGUUAUACAUUUACUUAUUUAGCUAUAAAAGUUAUAUUCUUUAUAAUAAUUGUUAUAACUAAUCUUAAUUAAAUAAGGUUUGGUUCUUAACCAUGCAUUUAAGUGACUUAAAUGCAGUACGUAUGUUUUUUCCUUUCAAUUUAGUCCUUUAAAAAUUUUUAAUUUAGCAUUUUUGGUUAGUGAAUAAUGUCAAGAAAUUUUUUAGAAAGAAAAGAAAAAAAAGCUAUCUUAUAAGCAAACAAAAAGUAAAAAUUUCAACUAACUUCGUAGAAACAAACAGGGGGAAGAAAUUAGAAACCUUUUUUUCUUUUUGUUAAAAUUGAAACAGAUGAACAAGAAGAAGAACUAGCUGAAGAUGAAAAACAAAGAUAAUAAAACAUCAAAUGAAAGUGAUGAAGAAGAAAAUAUAAGGUGGGAAAACAAAAUAAGAAAAAGGCAAUAGAAAAACUUAAAUAUUGUGAUAUUCCGCUAUAUCAACCUAUCUAAAUUGAAUAUAUAGUGAUUGUCUACGAUUGAUUGUUCUUAUUAUUAAUUCCAACAAUUUCUUGUUGCAGAAGAAAGAAAGAGAAAAUAAAGAAAGAAAUAAAGUGAUAAUUAUCUGCAAUAUUGAACACAAAAUCUCAAAAUUUUAAAAAUAUUUUACUGCAUCUUAAAAUCUUUUGGUGUUUUCUUACCAAAAUUAACCUAAACGUAAGUAUAAUUGUUCUUUAUUUAUUUGGCAAUAUGCAUGAUUUAUUGUUUUCAGAUAAAAGGCAAAAAAACAAAAGCUUUUAUAAAAUACAGUAAAUUUUAUUUAGAUUAUGUCAUUUACCAUCAUUUUUCUAAGACUUUUUAUGAUUAAUUUCAUAAAUUUUCAAACAUCUUUAAUUUCCGAAGGACUUAUUCUCAUCCAUUUUGUUCUUAGAGAUACCUUAUUCACAAGGUAUACAUAAAUUUCUACAAACAUUUUUUAAAAACUUAUAAAAACAACCCAAAAUAUAAAAAUAAUAAAUUAUUAAAUAAAAUAAGUAAUCUAUUAUUUUCGAAUAACUAAACAUAUCUAAAUUUUAGAAGGAUAUAAUUCACAUUAAGAACGAAUUUAUUAUAGGCACCUGCCCCUCACAUUAUCGAUUUUUUAUUUUAAUAUUAAUUUUGAAGGAUUAGAUUACAAUAUAUAUUAACUUUAUUUGACCUAAAUUCUGCUUAUGCUAUAAUGGUUGUGCCCCUAAAUCUUGUCUGUUACAAUUAUUUUUACAAAAUAGAUUUUAUUCCAAAUAUCAAUAAUUUUCUUUCCUCAAAAAUUAAAUUUCUUUCUAGAUUUUCAUAAAAUAAAUUUUAUUCAAAACAUCACUAAUUUUCUUUUCUCAAUCAUCAAUAAUUUUAUUUCCUCAAAUAUCCGAUUUAUUUCUAAAUUUGAAUGAUUUUCUAAAAGGGAGAUAAUUUGAUUUCUUAGAAGGAAAAUAAUUUGAUUUAAAAGAGAGAUAAUAUUUUAAAAAGAGAAAAAAACUGAUCUCGAAAAAAAUCUUAACCUAUUUCCAGUCUUUCUUUAUUACUACAAUUUCUGAAACGUUGAGAUAUCUUUUAAACCGUGUUUAUUUUACUGUGCUCGGUGCUCCCUGUAUAAAAUUUAUAGAUCCGCCACUAGUUCACAUAUUGGAAAUAUCUACACGGAUGCAAACUGAUACUCUAUUAUCGCCUACUUAAGAAUUAGUGGUUAAGAACCUGAAUAGCAAUAACUGCAGCACGAUCAUGAGAGACUGUCAAUACAGGAACAAGAGGAUGAAAAUCCGAAACUUCUCGAAAUCCGUUACCAGAAAGAUGAUCAAAAUCAUCGUCGGACUCCGCCACCGUCAUGGAAACCCCAUUACCUUCUACAAAUUCAAUGACAGGUACAUCGGAUUGCGAUGGCCAAACGAGGUUGCCAGCCAAAGGAAGAUGGUGACAAAGAGCGAGAGAAAGAGAGCUCUUGAGCUUCGAAACAAUGACAUCGUAAGACGAGAUCUGAUUGGAUGGAAAUUCGUAGAAAAAAAGACGUUGAAUUGGAUAAAACCUUAACCAGAACAAAUCAAAGAAAGUGAGGGGAAGAGAUAUGGGCGCUGCCGCUGUGGGAGGAGGGGAGACUUUGGAGACCUCAAUUACUUUCAGAGAAGGAAAGUUAGCCAUCGGAAAUAAUAGAAAAGUGAGAAGAUAAUGGGUUGGAUCCUUUCAAAUCUUUGGGGUCUUUUAAAGGUCCAAAAACGUUGAAAACAACAAACAAAUCAUGACGUAUUGGCUUUCGUCUUUUUUACUCCUUGAAAUUAUGAAAUGGAAAGUCUUCUAGAAUUUCAAAAAUAUCGCUCUAGCCUGUAGCCUGUAGCCUGUAGCCUGUAUAUAUCAUUAUGAACGAAUAAACCAAAAAUAUUUUUACUCUUUCUAGUACAAAUACUAAUAGAUUCUAAUUUUUCUAAAUUUUUUUAGAAUUUUUAUUAUUUAAAAUAAUUUUUUAUAACAUAUAGGUGUAUUUUCAAAUAUAGAAUACAAAUUAAAACUUUUAUAAAAAUAUAGCAAAAUUUUAAAUCCAUCGAAAUCAAACGAUAAAAUUUAAAAUUUUACUGAAUUUUGUAAAUAUUUUCAAGAGUUUUGUCUAACGUAAAUGUCUAUUACAUCUGAUUUUUAUUAUAAAAUAUAAAUAUUUAGUCGAUUUUUAUAAAUUAUACUUUUAAAAUACGUAUUUCAAAUGUAAUAUUAUACCUGUCCUUUCAAUUUCAAUUCAUAUUUAAUUGUCUUUAUAUAUCACAUAUUAACUAGUGUACGAUUAUUCAUUAAAUAUAAGAGAAAUGCAUUCAAUUAUUGUUUGAAAAAGUAAAACCAUUUAAAGAAUGAUAUUCACAUGGUGAGAAAUGCAUUAAAUAUACCAAAGUCAAUCUCAAUUCGGUAUAAAUUCCAAAUUUACUCUAUCUUGGUAUAAUUAAAAUCUUCAUGUCUUAUCAUUUUUCCUUUUCAAGUUGCAGGGUUAAAUUUGUAAUUUAAGCUUUAAUUUAUAUAUAAAAAAUGGUAAUGGAUAAAACUUUUGUUAAAUAAUUGGCUAAUCUACUAUUAGGGAAAUAAUUGGCUAAUCUUUGUUUUUCACUAGUUGGAAGGAAAAUCUUCUAGAAUUUCAAAAAUAUCAUCAUUUGUAAAAUACACCAACAUAAAUCAAAAUAUUUAUAAAAUAUAACAGAAUUUUAGAUGUAUCACUAUUGGUAUUGAAGACAAAAAAAGUCUAUUAGUGUCUAUCAUUGAUAUAAUCUAAAUUUUACUAUAUUUUGUAAGUAUUUUCAACUAUUUUGUCAUUUAAAAUAAUUUCUCCAAUAUAAAUGUCUACUACAUCUGAUUUUUGUCAUAAAAUAUAAAUAUUUUGACAACUUUUAUAAAUUAUACUUUUAAAUAUUCAUUUCAAAUGUAAUAUUAAAAGUCAUCUCUUUUGAAGUGUAUUAUUAAUGGUCUUUUAUCAAAUGAGUUUAAAUAAGAGAAAUUGUAAAAGAAAAGUAAAAUGGACAAACUAUUUACACUUUGUGACAAAAGUGUAAUGAGUUUGGGUUUUUUAGUGAUUUUUUUGCCACAGUGUAAAUUGUUUGUAUUUUUUUUUAGAAAAUGAUACUUGUAUGGUUGGUAGGCGAGGUCGAUACCCUUUUAGCUCCCUCAUCAUUCUCAAUAGUUUGUAUUUUUUUUUUAUUAAAUCUAUCAAAAUCGAACCUUAAUUUGUUUCUUCAGGAUAUUUAUGUAUUUAAAACUCAUAGAGAAGGAUUUUGUAAUGACUCAAACUCUUAAAUUAAGCUGAGGUUCUUACCUAAAAGAUAAAUAUCAAUUUUGGCACUUUCUUGUAAAGAGAAAAACUAAAUCUUUAUUAAAAUAAUUUUCAAACAACUGUUCAUAAAACAAAAUUUAGCGAAAUCUAUAAAAUUCCAUGAAAACAAACUCGAGCUAAUUUUAACUAAUUAAAGAAAAUAAAUAAAGAAAUAAAAUGUUUACAAUCGAAAAGACUAAAAAUUAAUAAAUGAAAAGCGAAAGCAAAAUUGAAUCCUUCCAUAUGGCAUGUCAUGGACCCUUACUGUCGUUGACCAACUUUUCAGAUCCUCUACCAUUGCCUGAAAUAUUAAAAAUAGAAAAAUGGCGAGUAUAUAAAAAUAUAGCCAGCAACGGAUCCACCUAUUGGCCCCUCUAAGUGAUCUAUUAACUUCUCAUUAGGAGAUCCCAUAAGGUAAUAAUAAUAUCGUUUGUCCCAUGGAGCACACGUGAGCAAGUGGUACCGUAGGAACACUUUUAGUCGUGCGAGUGAUCCAUAGGUACACCUCUAAUUGUGCGAGUGAUUUCGUCAAAACACCCUUAGGCAUGCAAGUGAUUCUGUUAAAACACACCUCUAGUCGUGCGAAUGACUCCAUUUGAACCCAAUACAACUGAUACUUAACCGUGCAUAUGAUAUUUAGGUACACGUUGUGCAAGUGAUCCCGUAGGAACGCCUCUAGUCGUGUGAGUGACCCCAAAGGUAGAAACACAAUACAUGUGGGGUAAAAGCCUAACAACCAAAAUUAACAAACAUCAUAGUCCAAAAACAUGUGACAAUCAACAUGAAUCAUCAGUCAUAGCAAUUCAUAAUCAUGCAAUUCAUAAAACAUCGAUAAUCACCAUAAUACACCAACUAUCAACAACAAAAUCUCGUUAUGUAUUUGUAGUUAUUAUCAAUACAUAAUCAUAAAAUACGUGCAGAGUCUUAAAUUUAGUUCGAAGGUUCAAUAGUAGAAUCUCUUACCUGAUAUUAGCUAAAAGUAUUCCUUUGCUGAUAGUAAUUUUUUUCAAUUAUAUUAAAACAGAUCCUAAAUAGUAAAUUUUUUUUCUCAUAUCCUUAAUUAAUAAAAUUUACCAAUGGCUAGCUAGCAUCUAAAAUUUUUCAACUUAACUUAUCCAAUAACUUAAGUAAGAUUGAAUCAAUUUAAGGUUGAUGGAAAAUUUUCACAAAUUAAUUCCUACAAAAGUUUCCAAUUAAGCCUUAAAAAAAAUCUACCAAUUAGAUUUGAAAUUAAUUUAUCUUUAAUUUAACUUUAAUGACUAAUGGGAAAAUUUUCGCAAAUUAAUCUUUCAAAAACUUCUAGAAGAAAAAGAAUCCAAAUUUUAAUACAAAAAUUAAUUUAUCAAAAGCUUUAACUUAUAUAUAUAUAACCCACAUUAAACAUAUCCAAUUAAUUAUUCUUUACAACUUUAGCCCAUUCCAAUUGGUAUGCUUUAGUAACGAUAGGCUAUAUAAUAAUUGACCAUCACAAACAUAUCACAUACUACGCAUAUAAUUGUAUUACUAUUAUCAUACAAUAAUCUAACCCUCAAUUGAGGAUCCAAUAGUAGAACCCUUAUAUUUGGUUAUGACAAGUUUCCUACGGCAGAUAAAACCACAAUUUCACCUAUGUAACCAAAUUAAAUUAACAAUUUUUGCCAACAAAUUAAUAAUUUCAUUAUCUUAGCUUAUAAAGUUAUCGAAAUAGAGAUCGAAAAAUCCUCUCAACCUUGAUAGAAAAAUUCACCACUUAAAUCUUCAAGCUUUGUGAAAGAGACCUUCCAAAUAAAAGUAACCAAAAUCAAUUGCAAUAAUAAACUUAAUUUAUUUGAUUAUGGAUAUUUGCAGCCUAAUUGUGCUUUCACCUUGAUAAACAUAAAUUAAUUAAAAGGAAUUCCUCUCUAAUUAAUACUAAAAUGUGUUUCUUCUCUAAUUAUUUUUGUUGGAAGAAUGAUUCUAACAAUUCUUUCAAACUGUUUGUUGCGAUGUAGUCUUAAUGUCGAGUAGCUAACAUGUUCAUUUAUUUAAUUUUAAUAAUUAAAUAGGUUUGAAUUCGUCACUAACUAUAUUAAAGUGUGAUUGGUCAUCUAAAAAUUUUUUUAAAAAAAUUGUCUAAAAUUCAUGAGAUUUAAGUUCGGGAGUCUUUAGGAACGUGUUAGCACCCUACAGCACCCAUAAAAAUGAUUACCAAAAUUUAUCUCUUAAACUAAAUUAAAAUGGUUCACAAAACAAGGUUUUUUUAUUUAUCUUUUUAAAUGUCUCAUGGUUCUCAAUUCACACCGAAAAAAAUAAAACCUAAGCAAUAAUUAAUAAUUAUGAGUGUCAUAAGAGCAAUUAGAAAAAUGAAGUUUAUUUUUUGUUUCAAAAUAUGAUUUUAUUUUAUUAUUAUUCACCUUAAAAAUAUUAAAAUAUCAAACUUUAAUAUUUUAAUCUUCAUAAUAAGUAAAAAUAUGAUUUUAUUUUAUUAUUAUUCACCUUAAGAAUAUUAAAAUAUCAAACUUUAAUAUUUUAAUCUUCAUAAUAAGUGUUUAAUGAGAAAUUUCAUGUACAUAAAAUUAAUAAAUUCAUAGAAAACAAUACUUAGCCUCAUUUAAAAUAUGAAAUUGUUUAUAAUUUUAAAGAUAACUUAUUAAUUAAAUUUCAACCCGAGAAAUAGAAAUUUCAUAUAUUCUUGAUAUUUAAGUUAUAAAACCCAUAAAAAACAUUACAUAUUUAAAUUUUUAUAUUCAUAUUAGAAAAUAAAUAAAUAAAUAAUAAUAAUAGUAGCAAUAUAAUGUGAAAUUGAGAAAUACAGGUUGUGAAAUAGUUGUAAAAUAAUAUAGGUGUGAAAUAGUUGCACGAAAACUGUGAAAUAAAAUAAUAUGCACGAAGGCUGCGAAAUAAAAUAAUAUACAGAGAGACGGUUGUCACACCCCAAAUCGUACUAUGACCUUGGGUAGAGUCACUCGAAAAUUAAAGAAAUUUGACAAAUAAAUGUUUAAUCAUUACUCUUGCAAUUCUCUUGAAAAUGUAGGUAAAUCUACAACAUCUCAAUUGUUAAGCUCGAAAUCAAGUGGACAUGCAUAGACUGUGUCCCCUUCAAAUGAUGCUUCUUAUGUCAUUGUUGUAAUUGAGAAACUCUCCAUCUUUGUUAACAAACAGUACUUUGAAUCAGAAUCAUGUGAUGAGUGACUUAUACCAGCACUCUUGAAAGUAUCAUAUAAUGUUGGUAUAAAUUUUAGACUUGGGAUCAAACUCCCUCAUCUCUAGCUUUGUCGAACGCUUUUUCUUAUUUUCUUCUUCAAGCCUAAUCUUAUCAUAUACGAAUGACAUUUAGCUCAAAUCAAACAUCUCAUCAUUGCUCGAUGUGUUUAGAAGUGUUUCUAAGUUUGAUUCAAACAAUAUCUUCCACUUCUCAUCACCCUAGUGAUCAUAACUUCCACUUUAGGCCCAUGUGACUUUAUUACUUCAUUUAUAGCUGCUUUCAUUAUAGUUGCAUGAACAAUUUUAAAAGAGCAAAAAUAGUAUUCUAAUGCUUCCUCUGUCGCCUCAACAUAUGGGGUUGAUACCGAUUUUGUUAUCAGAAAUUUUCCUCUCCCAUCAAACAAAUCACCUACUCAACAAUAAAUUUCAAUUUUGAUGCAAUGUGGAUGACAUCACCCCUACAGAGUGAAUCCAAGGACGUCCUAAUAAAAAACUGUAAGUAUGUGUUAUUUCCAUUACUUGAAAGACUAUAUUGAAAGUACAUAAGUCAAACUUGAUUGGUAAUUCAAUGUCACCCAUUACAUCUCUACGUGACCCAUCAAAAGCUCUCACAACCAUAGUGCUUGAUUUUAUGUGUGACAUGUCCAUUGCAAGCUUGAAUAGUGUAGAUUUAGGCAUUGCAUUAAGAGAUGAACCACUAUCCACUAAAACUCUUGCUAUUGCAUAGUCUUUGCACUUUACUUGUGUUGGAAUUUAUAUCCUAAAACUCGUAGAUUGUACAUAUAACUCAUUGACCGUUAUUAAGAAAGUGUUAUUUUUAUAAUUGCAAUAAAUAUUAUUGAUUAUAUUAAUAGUUUUGUCUUAAUAACCCAAAUCCAAUAAACUAACAUCCUAAGAUGUUUGAUGAGUCUUGAACAGUAUGUAGAGACAUAUAGAAAUCAAUGUUCGAGAUCAGCUUAAAGGGUCUAUAGUAUAAGGAUAAGAUUGGGUACCUUAUCUUGGUAACACUAUGGAUACGACUCACUUUGUAUUUGAUACAAAUGCAAUGAUUUCAUUUGUGUAGUUGAUAUGCAAGUGAAGGUAUCUUGCAACGGAUUUGCAUAAGACCAGACCAUAAAAUAGUAACCACUAGUUAUAACUCCGUUUACUAGUUAGGUUUCUAUUUCAUUAGGAUGACCUAGUUAACUUAGUCUUAAUCAUGAGUGUAUUAUGAACUCUUGUUCGCGAGAGAUUGUUCUUUGUUUUGUACAAAUGAGAGUGACCAAAUUUCCGACUCAAUAAUCUUAUUAUUUUGGGGACAAGAUCGAGUGGAGAGUUGGAAACAUAAUUUACGCAAGAUGAAAUUCACUCAUUUUCUACUUUAGGGUACGUAGAUGGUCCCUUAAAUGGUGUUUUUGGGACUUGAACAAAUGACCUUACCCUCUCUAUGAUACAAGAGAAAUUUAUGUUUAUUGGUUGGACCAUAAACAUGUUGUUCAUUAGAGAAGCACAUGUACUUAAAUAUUAGAGGUAACCCAAGGAUCAAAUGGUAAGUUGAUCUAGCUGGUAUUACAAACACUCGUGAAUAACUAACUUACUGUUAUUGGUCGAUAUCCGUGGACACAGAAAUAUAUCUACAGUGAGAAGAGUUCAGCUAUGAGUCUUUGGUGGAAUGUACACACAGUUAACGAAUAUUGAUUAAUGUAGUUAAUGAGUUUAGCCAAUUAAUCUCAGAUUGUUGUAGCUUCUGAUCUAUAGGUUCAUUAGAUCCCCUAGCCUCUAAAGGGUAAUGAGAUUUAUUUAUGUUGGUUGUAAUUUGAAAUGUUCAAAAUUACUUUGAAAAUUAGUUUAAUGUAUAGUGAUACAUUAUAAUAUAAAGGUUGUCAAAUUUUUUUAUAUAAAUUUAAUUUUGGAUAUGAUUCAAAAUUAGUUUAUGAUAAAAUAUUUGAAUGAGUUCAAAUAUUAAUUUAAUAUGAAUUGAAUUCAUAUUAAAUUAUCUGUUAUGAUAUAAAUUUAUAUUUGAAUAUGAUUCAAAUUUAAUUUAGCUAUUAAUUAAUUAAUAGUUAUUUUUAUUUUAUUUAAUUAAAAUAAUAUAAAACUAUAAGAUAUCGGAGAGAUAUUCAUUAAAUAAGAUUUAAAUAAAAUAUUAAUUAAAUAUGAUAUAAUUAAUUAUUAACUAAUUGAUUAAGGGUUAAUUAGUUAAUAGAUUUAAAAUUUUUAUUGAUUUAAAAUUUUUAAAUUAAUAGAAUCACAAGAUUAUCUCCUAGUCCCUGAAGAAAAGAGAGUUAUAAAUAUGCGAAGGAAAAUUGUUUUUUGGUAAAAGAGUUUCUCUAAACAAUCUCUAAAUUUUUUCACAUACCAAUUGGUUCUCACAAACCAAUCUUAUCCUAGAGGAUAAGAAGGUCACCGACGGAUAGUGUCCCAAUUUGGAGAUUUAUUUUGUAGAUUCAGAGACGUCAAACAAGUAAAUUUUUCUCUCUCUAAUCUAUAAUUAGAAAACAUACUUAGCCUUUAAGUCUUAAUAAAAAAUUUUGUUUCUAUAUCAUUUUGCCAAUGUACUGAUAUUUUAGAAUUUCCAAAUUAAAUUGAGGAAUGAUUUUGUAAAAUCCUCCGUUGUCAUGGACUUUUAUCCCUUCAACUUGAAUAUGCAAUGCUUUUGUAUGACUUAAACCUUCAAGAGGAAAGUCAUCAUCCGUGAAGACUAUGAAAUUUGAAGACGUAAUGUUUCCAAUAAUGUUGUUAAACUUUUUCAUUCAAAUGUCAUGUCCAACUUGUGUCUUGUUCAAAAUAUCUAAUAGCACUUUGCGAUGAGACUCUGAAUUAAAAAACAAAGAUAAUAAAGAAAUUCGAGCUGGAGUAUGAUGCAUUUCCUCUAUGAUCUUAUACUUAUAUACUUUGUUUUACUAUUUUCAAGAAUUUAUUUGCUUCCUCAUCCGUAAUAGGCUUCUUGUAUUCUACAUCUUUUGCUAUUGAUAGAUAUCUCUACAUCUUGCUCUUUGCAAUGUUCAUUCACAUUUCUUCUCUAAUUUUUCCUCUAUUGCCCCAUUAUAAAACUACUUGAAGGAGCUAUUAAAUUAUCUAGUUUGUAACAUCUUCCACUUUGAGUUAUCUCGAUGAUUUCUGUAAGAUUAUAAACUGAAGGACCUGUAUUAAUGACAACUUGAAAAUCAUAUCGUCAUGACACUGCUUUCACAUUCUUAAACUUGAAAGGACUCGGUACUGGAUCGUGGGUUAUUUAGGAUUGUAGGAAGUUGACUCAUUACGACUUUCUUGAUAAAAGACCGUCAAAGGCCUUGGUAAAAAGGAUUUUUCCUUUUUUGCAACUUCAUCCAUUGAUGCACAUAUUUUAUUGUCUUUUAUCUCAUCAUUUCCUUGUCCUCUGUAUGAGUAUAUUUGAAUCCAUAAGUUGUUGUACUUUAGAUCUGAAUUUACAACACAGUUAGACAACGUGACUUGCAACUCUUUGAUGAAAUAUACAAUGUAUGUUUCCAUCGUAUCCUUCAUUUCUUAUGUUGGGGUCUAAAUAUUCCUGACUAACAUAUCCUGCUUCAAAAAGUGUUUUCAUAGACGUCACUAUCUCAUGAACUUUAUUUUUACACUUUUCAACAAGGCAAUCUACAACGUUCACUUUGAAUUUUCAUGAUUAGGCAGUGGAUUGUUGUUGACAUCCGGCUUCAACCAACUUUUUUGAAGCUUAACCAUCUAACAUUAAUUAAAGAUUGCACCUUUCUUUUAAAGGCCAAACAAUUUUCAGUUGAGUGUCAUGCUCCACCAGCAUGAUAAUCACAUCUAGCAUUUGAAUCAUACUAUUUUGGAUAAGGAGGUUGUAUAUGAUUCAUUGGAAUAAGAGCUAACUAUGGAUUUUGAAUUAGCUAGGGUAAAAACUCUGUAUAAGUCAUGGAAAUUGAAUCAAAAUCGCCAUGUAUCAGAGUUGGUCUUCCUACCAUGACCUUAUACAAAUGGUCGAUGAGAGUUUGAGUUAACAGGUUUUGGGGUUCCAAAGAAAGAGUGAGCUGGUACAUAGUUGUUAUAAGGGAUAUGAGAAACAUUGCUUAUAUAUGAAGAGAAAUUUUGGUCAUGUUUUCUUUGGCCAAAAAUCGAUUUGUGGUUCCCUAAAUUAGAAAACCCAAUUGCAUGAACCUCUCCUUCUUUCUUCUUAAAUGUUGUUCCUUUCUUUAAAUCCUCAUACUCAAUUGAAGCCUCUACUAACCUCCUAUGCUUUAUCUCAUAUUCAAUUCUUUCACCAAUAACAAUAAUGUCAGAAAAAUUGGUUGUAGUAUUACCAAUCCUUUGAUCAUAAAACAGAGCCCACAAAGUACUCAUAAACAUAGAUGUCAUUUCUUUGUCCGUUAAUGGUGGUUGAACCUCUGUAACCAUAUCUCUCCAUCAUUGAGCAUAUUCUUUAGAACUUUCUAAACUCUUCUUCUCCAUCCAUUGUAGGUCUAAACGAUCUGGUGCCAUAUUCAUAUCAUGUUUGUAUUGCUUUAGAAAUGCAUAAGCUAAGUCCUUUCAAACAUGAAUGUGUGCAUUAUCUAAUUGAAUAUACCAUCGAGUCAUUGGACCAAUCAAAUUGUCCUGAAAACAAUGGAUCAAUAAUUUAUCAUUACCAAUAUGCGCUGCCAUCUUUCUAUAGUACAUUAUAAGAUGACUCCUUGGACACUAUGAUCCAUCAUAUUUGUUAAAUUUAGGAACUUUAAACUUUGCUGGAAUUAUCAAAUCUGGCACCAAACACAAUUGUGUUGCAUCUAUAUUCUCAUAAAUGUCAAUCCCUUCAACAUUUCAAUUGCUUGCAACCUUUCUUCCAAAACAUCUAGUUUUUGCUUAGCCGGAGUGUUCUCAUUUUGUCCCAUGUCUUGAAUUUUAGUCUGAGCUUCCAAUUGUUAUAUUUCUGGAAUAGGAGGUGGAAUAGCAAAAAGCGAAUUCAUAUCAAUAUAGUAUUGCAUGGGUAAAUCUUGGAGGAUAAAUGGGAUCAUCGGUGUCUUGAACUCGAUUGCUUGAUUGUGUUGUAUCUACAACGACUUUCUCUUUUUUUUUAUUGAAAGCAAUUCCAGUAUUUUUGAAACUUGUUCCUCAAGCUUAUUAAUCUCUUAUCUCAUUUUAUCCAUGUCUUUAUCUUGUUCUUCCAUGAUUCGAUUUUUAUGCCUCAUAUGGUAAGGAUGUUGAAUUGAAGUAGGACGAGUGAUGUUUUCAUUUGAUGAUUUUGAAAACUUUAAAAACCAAAGAGAAAGGGAGAAAGAGAGAGAGAAAAUUUAUUAAAUAAUGAAUUCAAAUACAUUAAAGCCAAACAAAAUAUAAACCUGACAGAAUAAAAAUCAAACUAAAACAAAAAACAAACAAAAUGUAAUGAACACUCUCAUUUGUCAUUAAUUGCAAAAUAAGCAAUUAAUGAAAACGAUCAAAAUGCCCAAGUCCUCUACAUAUCAUCUUCAAAAUCCUAUUCAGAUCAUCUGCAUGAGGUUGCAUUGAGAAAAAAUUAAUCCUUAAAUUAGCUGCCCAUUCUGUAAAACUAUUUGCUCUUCUAGACAUUAUUUUGAGAAAUUUAAUCGUCUAAUCUACACAUUCAACUAACACCUGGAAAUCUUUUCUUUGCAAAAUCACAAUCAACCUUCACUUGCAUGUAAUCUGUCUUUAAUAAUUCGUAUUCUUGUACUAUCCCCUCACUUGAAUUUUGAAAUGCAAUAAGUUGAUAGUGUAAGGAAUCAACAUAAUUUUUCAGUAUUUUAUACUUUUCAGAGUACUCAACUAUCUUCACAUGUGGGUUAUCAUUUGUUUGAUGUAUAGAGUGAUUGUGUGCUUCCAAAUCUACUAUAUGUGCUUCCUGUUUUCCAAAUGAUGUAUUCAAAUCAUUGACAACUCGAGAAAAUAUCCUUCUCAAUUUCUAAAUCUUUAAUAUAUUCAUCUUGCGAUUCUAUUGUUGCCUGUAAUGUUGUCUUUUCAUUUUUCAAGCUUCUAUUUGCUUUACUCAUUUGCCUAAUCUCUUUAUCUAACACCUCAAAAUUCUUUUUUAACUUAUCUUGAUUUCUUAAGAAACUCUUGGUCUUUUCGAGCUCUUUCUACAAAAAAGUCACAUGAUCACUCAAUUGACUUGUCUCUUUACGAAGUUUCUCAUUCUCUUGCUCUAACAGUUGAUUUUUCUCUUAUAAUUUUAUGCUCUUCUCAGCCCACUAGUUUGAUUGUUCAAAGCUUGUCUCUUAUACCCUUUCAAUUGAUGGAAACGAUAGACAUGCGCAGCAAAAUAAAGAUCGAAUUUUACUCUAAUUGCAACUAAACAAGUUUAGUAAUUAACAUGCAUAAAAAUAAAACCCUAAAAUAACAUAGAUAGGGUUAAAAGAAAAACUUACCUUUGAAGUUUUUCUUCUCUUGUAUUCUCUUCACGAAUUUGAAGUCAGCACAACCACUAGAGUUUACCUCCUAUUCUUCGGACUUGGAACCGAGUUGUGGGACUAAAAAAUGGUGGAGGAAAUAGAGAGAGAUUGAUGAUAUCCUUUUGAUGAAAAAAUCUCAAAUGAAAAGAGUUCUUGGUCUUAUUUUGUAAUUCUCAAUUACAAAAUUAAUUUUCAAUUUCAAAUCCAAGAGUCCUUUCACAUUUGCAUAAAACUUGUUUACAAACAAACUACAUGCAAGAGCUUCCGUAUCUCACCACUUGACAUUCUUAGUGGGGUAGGUGUCUUACAUGCAAUAAGCCACUUGCAUACCACAUGCAAGUGAUAAGCUUGUCAAAUCUCAACCAAUGUUAUUAUUUAAAUUAGUUUAAGGUCAAUAUGGUAAUUCAACAUUUAAAUCAAAUUCAAAGUUUGACUUUUUCAAGUCCAAAAUCAACAUUUUAUCCGUCUUGACUAAUUUCAACCUCCCAAGCAUGAAUCCGUAUUCAUUUCUCCAAAAUUCAAAUCACAUUUGAAUAUAAAGUUAGUCAAAUUUUGAUUUUUCAAAGUCAAAAGUCAACAUUUUAACUUUUUACAUCUUUGACCUUUUUCAUCAAUUCUAAGCUUCCAAAUAUGAAUCCAUAUUCAUAUUUAAAUCACAUUUAAACAUGAAGCUCUAUCUUAAGUUAUAACUUAUAACUGUAUCAAAUAUAUUUGUCGGUUUCUCUCUAUUUACCUAAUUCAAACAAUUCAAAUUAUUCCAUCAUAAUGUUCUAAGUUGAUUCCUUAUGAACUAGCGGGGGAACCUAAUGAACCUAUAGAUCAUAGACUCCAACGUUCAGAGAUUAACUGACUAAACUCUUUAGACUGAGUUAAUCAAUCUUCGUUAACUAACGGGUCAUUAUACUAAAAUCCCGUAGUUGCACUCCCCUGACUAUAGAUAUAUUUGUGUCCAUGUGAUAUGACCAUGAUAAGUAAGUUAAUCCUUCAUAGGUUGUUCAUAAUCUCGACUGGGUCAAAGUACCAUUUUACCCCUGAUAUUAUAUAUUUUCUCCUUAAGUCCCACUGAUCCACUAUUGAACAAUUGGUUUAAGGUCCAACCUUUAAACCGAAUCCCUCUCGGGCCAAUGAGAGGGUGGGACCCCUUGUUCAAGACCUAGAUUUAGUUCUUAAGGAAACAACCUAUCUACUAACCCUAAAGUGGGUAGGAGUGAAUUCCAUCUUGCACCCUAUGUCCUUAGCUAUCCACCCAAUGUUACCCUUGAAAUGAGAGGCUUAUUGGGCCAGCACUAUUGAGUUGCCCUCACCUAUGCAGAUCUAUGAAUAAUCUCGUGUGAACGUAAUUUUAUAGUUAGCUUAGGAUUAAGAUUAAGUUACAUUGGAUAUCUAUAAACGAAAUAGUCAGUUUUACAAAGUUAACGGUUUUAUAACUUAAAAAUGACUAUUUCAUGGUUCCAAUCUUAUGUAAACUCUUUACAUAGGAUGCCCCAACUUUCAUGUCUCUACAUGAACGAUUCAGGAUCAUAUCGUUUAUACUAACUACAAAGUAGGCCGCAUCCAUAGUGUCCUCAAAAUAAGGUGCCCAAUCGUAUUCGUAUACUAUAGACGGUUUAGGCUAUAUACUCAAACUUGGUCCACAUUUAUGUCUCUACAUAAGGUUCAAGUUUACUCUAUUAUAGCAUUGAGACCUUAGUUUAUUGGCUUUAAGAUUAUAGUAUCAAUAACGACUUAUUGAAUAGAAUAUGAUUAUAAACCACGAGUUUUGGGACAUAAAUUUCAACAUCAACUACAUCCCUUAAGGUAUCUAUUACAUUUUUCCUUUUGUUUGCUUGCCAUGCCUCGUAUUCACUGGUAACUCCUUCAUAGUAUCAUUUUCCUUUUAUCUUCCUCACAGACUUCCAUGCACAUACUACUCGAUAUUUUUUUCUUGACAAUCUUCAAGAUCGUAUGAAAAGUCAGAGUCCUGUAGAUUAUGAGUUGGUGGUAUAAACUGUUUGAGCCACACUUGACACAAAACUAACAAUGGUGUAGAGUUAACACCUUCUUGUGGUCCCAACAAAGGCACACUAUGAAAAUCUCCACAUCUAUAAAUCAUCGCCUUCAAAGGCAUCCAUUGAGCCUUCCAUAUGACAUUUUCAAAACUCAUUGUUGAAAAGAAAGACACCCAACCCAAGUCUCCAUCCUUAGAUAUGUUGGGUCCCAAACUGCCAUACCAAACUCACUAACAACGUUCCACAAUAAAUUUCAUGAUCUACUAAAAUCUAUCCUUGGACGCCUAAACUCUGCUAGAAAUUUAAUAUGGUUGUGUAUCCAAAUAUAUAAUAAAAGGACACAACAAUUCAAUUUUUCUUCCCAUUUAUUUCUACAAUAGGUAAGAGAUUGAAAAGUUUAAGCCAAUAUAGGUAUAAUAGGAUCAACUCCUCGUUCUAUUUUAAAAAAUAAUCUGAUCACUUUCUCAUAAACAUAACCCUAUACUUUAGGAAAAAUCACCGCUCCAUAAAUGCACAACGCUAAGAGAGUAAAACAUUUGUCUUGAUCAAUGUAAGUUUGUGCCAUCUUUAUUAAAUAGUCAAACGACACAUUCUCCUCCAAACCCUGAACUUUUACAUGCUUUUGAAUUUCUGUGGCAUGGACGGUUUCUAAAAACUUUGAUAAAGUCCUAUUUGUUAUUUGCUUAGGGUUAAAGAAAUUAAUAAUAAUUUCCCUUUUUUUUUCAGGCAUGCUAAGCAUAGCGUGAUAUUCUUCUAUAGUUGACAAUAAAUCACACAACCCAAACGUGAAACAACCGUAUCUGGAUUCAAAUAUUAAUUAUGACUCUUAAAGCAAAAUAAUUCACCGGUAUGUACAUCAACUCUACUGUAUGUCCAUACUUCUUUGAAAACAUGAAUCUUCGUUGAGGUGUCAAUGCCUCCCAGAUCAUCUUUAGUUUCGCUAAAUCAUUUUGUGUAGAAGAGAGCUGACACAUGGAUAGUACUAAUACUUGAGAAGAACUGUUUAUGCUAUCCUAAAUUUUUGUUGCAUCUCUUUAGUCCAUUUCAGAACAUUGCUUGACUCAUCAAACUUAGAUUCAAAAGGUGAAUGCAUCGACAUAUUAGACAACUUGGCAUUUCAAUACUAUUACUUUUUUGCACAAUUAUGAUAAAAAAAGACAAAAAUAAAAACAUAUAGUCAAUUCACUUCACACAAAAAAGUAAAAAAUAAAAAGAAAAAGAAAAAAAGAAAAAAAAAGAGUAAAUAAGGUUUUGAUGCACUUGUAAACACUACUCUUCUUAUUAUUUUUUAAACAAAUAUUUAAUUUUAGAAAAUGUAAAUGUUUUCAUGCACUUAGAAGCACUACUCUUCUUAUUAUUUUUUUAAAAAAUUAUUUAAUUUUAGAAAAUGAAAAGUUUUCAUGCACCUCUACCAUGUAAACACUCUUUUCCUCAUUUUUUUUUUUUUUUAAAAGUCAUUUAAUUUUACAAAAAGAAAAGUUUUCAUGCACCUGUUCAAGGUAGACGCUACUCUCCUUAUUGUUUUUUAAAAAUAUUUAUUUAAUUUGAAAAAAAAUGUAAAGGUUUUCAUGUACCUCUACAAGGUAAAUAUUAUAAUGUUAUUCCCUUAUUAUAAUGUUAUUUAAAAAGGGUUGGUAUCAUUUAAACUUCUAGAAGGGAAAUGCCCUCAAACUUAUUAUAAUGUUAUUUAAGAAAUAACAAAAGAAUUAAUCUGAUCGAGGAUCUUUCAUGUGAUUGUAUAAAAGUCGAAACCCCUCGAAGGUCAACACUACUCCCUCCUCAAUUCUAGUCCUAUAAGGUUGUAGCCCGAGUAGAGGGCUUGUGAAUGUGUAAAAUGCAUGAUGAUAUAUAUAUAAAAAAACAGACCAAUAACAUAGUACAAAUUAAUAUUCCAUAUGAAUCAAAUCAAAAAACAAAUAAUUAAGUGAACCAACAAAUCAUAAUAGACUAAGAAUAAAGGAUAAAAAUAUAACGAUUUGUCUCUCUUAAACACUUUUUAAGUCCACAAUGGAAUCGUCAAGUUGUUGCGACUUGGUUGCAAUGCGCCAAUGUUCUCGUUUAUUUAAUUUUAAUAAAUAAAUAGGUUUGGAGCCACCACCAACUAAGGUGUGAUUGGUCACCCAAAAAUAAAAAUGGUCUACCCAAAUUCAUGAGAUGUAACUUCGAGAGUCAGUUAAGUGUAGGAAAUGUGUUAGCACCCUACAACACCCAUUAAAAUGAUUACCAAAAUUUAUCUUUUAAACUAAAUUAAAAAGGUUCACAAAACAAAAAUUUUUAUUUUGUUUUUUUAAAUGUCUCAUUGUUCUCAAUUCACGUGAAAGAAAAUAAAACCUAAACCUUAAUUGAUAAUUAUGGGUGACAUAAGAGUCAUUAGAAAAAUAAAUUUUAUUUUUUUAUUUUAAAAGAUUAUUUUUUCAUUUAUUGACCUCAAGAAUAUUAAAAUAUCAAACUUUGAUAUUUUAUUAUCCAUUAUAGGUGUCUAAUGAGAAAUUCCAUGUAUCUAAGAAUUAAUAAAUUCAUAAAAAACACUACUCAGUUCUCAUUUAAAAUUCUCAUUUAAAAUAUAAAAUUAUUUAUGAUUUUAAAGAUAAUUUAUUAAUUAAAUUUCAAAUGAAGAAACUUAAUCAUGAAAUUUAAGUUAUAAAACCCAUAAAAAAUAUUGCUUCUUCACUAAUUUAAAAUAAUAUGUAGUGAGUCUGUGAAAUAAAAUAAUAUGUAGGGAGAGAAAUAAAAUAAUAUGAAAGGAGGUUGCGAAAUAAAAUAAUAUAUAGGGAAUCUCGGUGUGAAAUAAAAUAAUUAUAUGCAGACAUGUUGUGACAAAAAAUAGUAUAGUGAGAUAAAUAACCGCAAAUAAAGAACACAAGCAAACAAAUAAAUAAUGCAUGAUGCCAAAUAAAUAAUGCACGAUGCCAAACAAUAAAUUUGAACUCAUGAUACUUAAAUUGACCUAAAUCUAAAAAACCGUUGAACCACGUAAUAAGUCUGGCAUAAAUAAAUUUAAAAUCACAAUGCCCAAAUAAAAUUAAUAUGAAAAGUAGGUAGUAAUGUAUGAAUCAUUUAAUUGGGAGAAGAAGUGAAAAAUAGCACAAAGUUUCUUCCUAUCUUCUCAACCCUCCCAAUUGACAACUAAUGGAAACAAUUUUCUUUUGCACCUCUCGCAACAAAAUCUUCCCCUCUAUUUUUUAUAGGGGAUAAGGUGAUAGUUUUUUAGAGAGAAGGAAGUGAGUCAAAGGCAGAGGAAGUGUUGAUGGAAAAAAAGAUCGAGAGAAAAUGGAGAGUAGUGCAUAUUGAGAGUGGUUAAGGAAAAAUAGGAAGAAGGUAACGUGAGAUUUUUCCUAUAUUUUUUCUUUUUUCAUUUUAAAAUAAUUCAAAUUCAUAUUUCUUUUAACAAAAUAUAAUAAAAUAAAUUAAAGUAAAUAAAUGAAUCUAAAGAAAAUGAAGGACAAAAUAUGUUUCCUUUAAAAUUAUUAUUGUAAGCCACUCCUUCCAAUUAAGCAUUUAUUGUUCUAACUUAUUGAGUUUUCUCUUCCUUAAUGCCUUUGAUUCAAUAUAUGAUAAGACAACUCCAAUAAAGUCAUGGUAUGAUAGGUAGUCCCUUGUUAGAAGUAUACCACACACUCCUCGUGGUGGAUCGUGACAAUGCCCACAACCUUACAAAAUGUUUUAAAGUUGUUGACGUUAGAGGAGUUUUCUUUUUAUUACAUUAUGUGUUUCGUAUCAUUAUUAUUUCAUUUAUUCCAUUAUGUAAAAAAAUGAUUUACAUAAAAUGUGAACGUGAAAUCAAAUUUCAUUACGAUCACACAACAUAUGCAGCCCAGACAAUAAACUUAAUCGUAAAAAAGCUGCAUUUACAUGAUUCUAUUGUUUUUCAUACUAUAACUAUCUUUUUUUUUCAUAUAAAUAUUUAAAUUUUUAGUUAAAUUCUAUAUUUUUUUAACUACUUUUUUUAGUUAACUCGAGUGUUUGAAACAUGGAUAAUAAAACAAAUAAAUCUUCUUAACAAAAAUAGCGUUUACCAAACUUAAGUUCUAAAACCAAAUUAAAAGGUUUAUAGUCCAUGACUACACACAAAUUAACUAUAAACAACUGAUGUUAAAAUUUAUUAAAUAAGACAUACAUAAAAGUCCCAUAUAGUCCCAUAUAGCUAAAAUGAAAAAAGUCAUAUAAACUACACAUGGAUAAAAUUGGAAUAGUAAAAACCUUUGGAAACAAUUAUCCGUAUGAUGAUCAUUUCAAAUAGAUUCAAAGCCUUGAUUAAAUAUAGCAACAAAAGCUUCCAUUUCAUCCCUUUCCUUAACAACACCAAUCUCCAUUACCGCAUCACUAUUUCUACUAUCAGUCAAAGAAAAAAAAUAUGGUGAUUCAGCUGACACAAUCUCCACUUUCUUUGGCUUUCCAAAUCCAAAAUCAGCGUUAUAAACUCCAAAUCUUGGUGAACCAGCUAGAGAAAUGGCUUGUGUUUCUGAAUAAUCAUAUGUCAGUUGGCUCAUUAUUGACCCCCAAUUCUCACACCCAUUUAAAGCUCCACCAUCCAAAUUUCUAAUAGCUUUUGAAAUCUCAUCACAAGCGAAAAUUAUUCCAUUUUCCCUCAAAAGCUCAAACCUUUCAAGACGAACAAAUCCAGCAACCAAACAAUUCCCAAAGUAAUUCAAUGGCACUUGUGGCUUUAAACGAAUUCUGGCAUCAGCUGCAAACACAAACCAUAAUUCUCCUUCUUUUAAACCUUCUAAUUUGGCUGUACAAACACAAAGAUAAGCUGUUGCUAUUGCAAAUGAAGAUAUGUCAGAAGAAGAAGAAUCAAAAUUUUCGUUUUUGAUCUUCUUGUUCAAGAUCCAUUCAUUUAGCUUUUGAAUGUUUUGGUGUGUGAAUUCUAAAGUGCUUCUAAUUAAACCAGGUAUUGUUUUGGGGAAUUUAAGGUUUAAGCUUCUGUUGUUGGGUCCUUCUAUGUCUUGCCAUGCCUUUGCAUAGAGUUUUGCAAAAUCUUUUGGAUCAUUUAUAAUUGAUCUAUCAUAUAAUGGCAUUUGCUCCGAGAUUGGUACAGAGGAUUCUUCAAUGCACAUUUGAGCCCAUGAUUUGAUAAAUGAAGUUGAGCUUCUUCCAUCUAAGAUUGCAUGGUGAUGGGUUAUUCCAAUGGAAAAACCUUCGUUUUGAAAUUUAGUUACCUAUAUUAAGAAUAUAAAUAAUUUAUAUAUUGUAUAUAUGCAAAUAUAGCAAUCACCUUUAAAUAGUUAUAUAUAUAAUACAAUACAAUGCAAAAUAAGUUUUAUAUAUAUAACAAAAUAUUGGAAUAUUCAAUCAUUAAUAAUAGUCUAUCACUAAUAUUGAAAAUAUAAAUGAUUAAGUAAUUGGUAGAGUUACAAGUAUUUCAAGAUAUAUCGUUAAUAAAAAAAUUCUAUUACAAUAGUGUCUAUCAGGUAUGAAUAUUUUGCUGUACUUCUAACUCUUUAACCAUGGUUAACUUAUUUGGCCAUAAAAGAUAUUUAUUAUAAUAAUUCUUAUAAUUACCCGUAAUUAAAUAAUACCUUAAUGGGUUAGUACUUAACCAUGCAUUAUUGAAGUCUUUAAUGCAGUACGUUAUUUUUCCUUUCAAUUCAGUCCUUUAAAAAAGUUUCAAUUUAGUAUUUUUCUUUUUGUUUGUUUCUCAAUUUAGUCUAUGAUGAUUAGUGAAUAAUGUCAAGAAAACUUUUAAAAAGAAAAGAAAAAGUAGUAAUUUCAACUAAUUUCGUAGAAUCAAAUAGGGAGAAGAAUUUAGAAACUUUCCCUUUUUAAUGACUUUUUUUUUUCUUUUAAAUGCCUUUGUACCAAUGUUCUAAUAAAUAAUGUCACUAAUAUUUAUAUAAUUUAAAUAAUAGUUUUUUUCAACUUAUUUGAAAAUAAUGUUUACUAAUUUUGGUGUUUCUGAGUGGUAGGUUUUUAUAACUUUUUCACACAUAUCCAAGCACCCAAUAAAAAUGUGGCACGUGACAUUUUUUUAAAAAAAUAAAAUGAUCGAUGAGUGUAAAAAAGAGUGAGAGUAUUCAAUUAAUCGCACCUAUUUAUUCAUAUACACGUAAUUUCUCGAAAGUAUAUUCUCUAAAAUUAAAAUACAUUAAACACAAUGAAUGAAAUCGAGAACUUUUAAAAGACGUUUAGAUCAGGGAGUUUGUUAUUAUAAUCUUAAAUUAUGAUAGUUCAAUUAUAAUAGUUUACAACCUAGGUGUAGAUUAUAAUUUUAGUCUGGUUUGAACUAUAAUGUUAACAAUAGUAAAUAUUACAUAAAAGAAUUUUAAUGAUUUACUUAAAAAAAACUAUAGAGAUGGACAAGUUUUAUAUUAUUUUGUGGGAAUGAGGCAUAACAUCUUUUCACCAUAUUUGGUGUAAGUUUUCAAUCUUGGGAAUGAUAGCAUCUUAUUCCAAAGGCAUUUCAUAUUCUCUUUCCAUGCAGAUUUUUCAUAACCUUCCAAAUAGGAUGAUUUCUCUCUCUCUUACUUCUUAUCUUUUUCAUUUUAUUUAUUUUUCCUUCUUUCUUCUUAUUAUUUAAUUCAAACAUUUUUUAUAAAUAUUUCUAAACUAAGCCAUCUAUAAUUGACAUUUGUAUUCAUUUUUAUUACUAAUGAUGCUAAUAUAAUAAUUUAUUCUAUUUUAUGAAUUACAAUAAUUAAACAUAAUUAUAAUUGCUUAAUUUUUUUCGACACCCUAAAUUGUUUUCAAAUACAAGAAAAAAAAAUCAAUCAAAAUAUUUACCAAACAUAUGUUUAAUAGAAUUUGAUAUUUCUUUUAUAUUCGUAGAUAAGUCGGCAGCUUUUUCAUUCGCAAUAAUUUUCUUCAAAAAUUUUAUACUUAAUUUCAUAAAUUAAGUACAAAUAUAGUUUUUGUUAUUCUCAUCCAUUUUUUUUCCAAGCAUACAUAAAUUUUUACAAACAUUUUUGAAAAACUUAUAAAAAAAUUAAAUUAGUAAAUAAAAUAAGUAAUUUAUUAUUUUCAAAUAAGUACACAUACGUAUGUUUUAGAUUCGUGAUAUUUUGAUGCUUAUAUAAAAGAGAUAUUGAUUCAUCCAUUGAAAACAUCUACAUGUAGAUGCAAAUUUGAUACCAAUUAAUUAUUACCUACUUUAAGAAUUUGUGGUUAAGUACCUGAAUAGCAAUGACUGCAGCACGAUCAUGAAAGACAGGUAAUUCAGGAACAAGAUGAUGAAAUUCGGAAACUUUUCGAAACCCGUUACUAGAAAGAUGAUAAAAGUCACCGUCGGACUCCGCCACCGUCAUGGAAACCCCAUCGCCCUCGUGAAAUUCAAUGACGGGUACAUCCGAUUGCGAUGGCCAAACGAGGUUGCCAGCCAGAGGAAGAUAGUGUUGAAGAGUAAGAGACAAAGAGCUCUUGAGCUUCGGAACAAUGACAUCGUGAAACGAGAUCUCAUUCGAUGGAAAUUCAUAGAAAAAAAGACGUUGGGUUGGAAGAAACCUUAGCCACAAUAAAUCAAAGAAAGUGAGGGGAAGAGAUGACGGCACCACCGCGGCCGCCGGAGGAGGAGAGACUUUGCAGACGUCAAUUAAUUUUAGAGAAGGAAAGUUAGCCAUCGGAAAUAAAAAGAAAGUGAGGAUAAUUGUUUAGAUUUUUUCAAAACUUUGUGGUGCUUUAAAGGUACAAAAACGACUGAAAGAAAAUACAGAUGACGACGAAUUGGCUUUUGUCUUUGCUUUUUAAUCGUUGGAAAGGAAAAUCCUACAGAAUUGCAAAAAUAUCGGUAGUAUCAUUUGUAUAAUACAUCCAAACAUUUAUAAAAUAUAAUAAAGUUUUACUGUAUUUUAUAAUUAUUUUUAAGAGUUUUAUUCUUUACAAUCAUUUUCUCUACUACAUCUCAUAUUUACUAUAAAAUAUAAAUAUUUUGCUGAUUUUUAUAAAUUAUAUUUUUAAAUAUUUAUUUUAAAUAGGUUUUUUUUUAAUAAAAAAAAUAGAACUAAGUGACAAAAUAUUUACAACGUAUAAAACAAUUUCAAAAACGAAAAAAAUUCACAAAUCCACAUUAGAAAAUAUAAAAAAUGUCCAUAAUUAAUUGACAUCGAUAUAAUAUAUUUUGGAAAUCAUGGUUCAGUAUUUGAAAAACGAUCGUUUAAAUCAAAUAUAAAUCUAAUAAUUUUUUAAUAAUUUUUAUUUCACACAAUUUUUUAAAUUUGGGUUGCCAAAUCUCAAUCAUUUUUUUCAAUUUUUUGAAGAAAUGAUCGUUUAUAUUUAGUACAAAACGAUUUUAUUAACGAUUAUUGGUACACGAGCGUUUAAAUUUAGUACAUAAUUGUUUAAAUUCGUUUUUUUAAAGAUUGUUUUGGUAAACUAUCAUUUAAAUUAAAUUUGGUACAGAUCGUUUAUAUUUGGCUCUUUAAAUUUGGAAAGCCAAAUCUAAACGAAUUUUUUAAAAGAUUCUUUGAUAUUUAAAUUUAGCUAUACACGAUUGUUUAGAUUUAGUUAUAUAAUAUUUCAAUAAUUUUUUUUUACGAUCUUUUAUAUUUGUUCCACAGUCUAAACAAUCAAAUAAAAAAAAACAUUGUUUAUUUGGUACAUAAACUUGAACUAAAUGAAAAUCGAGAAAAAGUAUGCAAAUUUCGUUAUGAUUACAAAAUUUUGGGAACAACCCAAACAACAAACUUAAUCUAAAAAAGGGGCGGACUAUUUAGAUCAUUGCAUUUGAUUUAUUGUUUUUCUUACCAUGAUUUUCAUCUAAUUUUUCUCACAUGAACAUUUAAAUUUUCACCUAAAUUCUAUAUGAAAAUUAUAUAUUUUUUUAACUUGUUUAAAACAUUCCUAAAAAUAGAUAAUAUAAGAUAAUGAAUCUUCUCACUGCAAAAUAAUGUCAAAUUAAGAUGUUUAUAGCCCUUACCUACAAGCAAAUUAACAAUAAAUUUACAACAAAUUAAAUUUAUUAAAUCAGACAUGCAUAAAGUAAUAGUAUUUUAAACUAUUAAUUAAAUUAAACAUCAUUAUUAAAAAUGUAUCAAAACUCAAAAGAGCAACAAAUUAUUUGGAAACUAACAAUGAUCCCAAUGUUGAUCAUUAAAAAAAGAUUCAAAGCCUUGAUUAAAUAUAGUAACAAAAGCUUCCAUUUCAUCCCUUUCCCUAACAACACCAAUCUCCAUUACCACAUCACUAUUUUGACUAUCAGUCAAAGGAAAAACGUAUGGUGAUUCAGCGGACACAAUCUCCACUUUUUUUGGUUUUCCAAAUCCAAAAUCAGCGUUAUAAACUCCAAAUCUUGGUGAACCAGCUAGAGAAAUGGCUUGUAUUUUUGAAUAAUCAUUUGUCGCUUGGCUCAUCAUUGACCCCCAAUUCUCAGACCCAUUUAAAGCUCCAUCAUCCAACUUUCUAAUAGCUUUUGAAAUCUCAUCACAAGCCAAAAUUAUUCCAUUUUCACUCAAAAGUUCAAACCUCUCGAGAGAAGUAUACCCACCAACCAAACAAUUCCCAAAGUAAUUCAAUGGCACUUGUGGCUUUAAACGAGUUCUUGCAUCAGCUGCAAACCCAAACCACAAUUUUCCUUCUUUUAAACCUUCUAAUUUGGCUGUACAAACACAAAGAUAAGCUGUUGCUAUUGCAAAUGAAGAUAUGUGAGAAGAAGAAUCAAAAUUUUCGUUUUUGAUCUUCUUGUUCAAGAUCCAUUCCUUUAGCUUUUGAAUGUUUUGGUGUGUGAAUUCUAAAGUGCUUCUAACUAAACCAUGUUUUGUUUGGGGGAAUUUAAGGUUUAGGCUUUUGUUGUUGGGUCCUUCCACAUCUUUCCAUGCUUUUGCAUAGAUUUUUGCAAGAUCUUUUGGAUCAUUUAUAACUGACCUAUCAUAUAAUGGCAUUUGCUUGGGGGUUGGUAUAAAGGAUUCUUCAAUGCAAAUUUGAGCCCAUGAUUUGAUAAAUGAAGUUGAGCUCCUUCCAUCUAAGAUUCCAUGGUGAUUGGAUAUUCCAAUGGAAAAACCUUUGUUUUGAAAUUUUGUUACCUAUAUUGAAAAUAUAAAUAAUUAAUUAAAUGCAUGCAACAGUAAAUUAGAUUUAAUGUAUUCACACAUAUAAUAAGUUAUUAUAAAGCACAACAUUGGAAUAACCCAUCUAAUAUUACAAUAUAAAUGAUGUGAAACCUAGUUUCAAGUAUUCGAAAGUUUAUAUUUGGCUUUCUAGAUCUACCAUAUCACUAAUACAAGUCUAUCACUAAUAAUAUUUUAUCAAUGAAAAAUGUGCCACUAAUAGAGAAAUCUAUUAUGACAGCAUAUAUAGCCAAUGAAUAUAUUUUUUUGUAACUGUAAUUUGUUUUUAAGAUAUUGUUGUUAUAUACUUGCUUAUUUUGCCAUAAAAGUUAUAUUCAUUGUAAUAAUUCUAAUUCUAUUUACUCCAUAACUAAAUAAUACUACAUUAAUGGUUUAGUACUUAACCAUGCAUUUAAGUUUUUAUUGCAUUACAUAUUUAUUCUUUUUGACAAAAAAUGUAUUUUUAGUUCAUGUGAUGUAAGGUUAAUGUUUAUUUAGUCUUUCAAGUUUUAAAAUUGAACACUUUAGUCUUCGAAAUUCGACGAACAGUUUUAAAUGCCCCAUAAAGUUACUUACAUAGUUAGUGGACUAAUGAAAAAAUGAUGUGACCCUUAAAUAUGAUUAGUUUUGCAAAAAUAUAUUAUAAUAUUAUUUUCUUAUGAUUUGAGAUUCUUCUCUUCUUUCAUUCUCUCCCUUCUUCUCCUUCAACCUUCCUUCAUAGUACUGCACUUUUUUUUUUUUUGUUAAGUUUUUGAAGCCAUUCCACUCAUCAUCACCUAGAAUAUCUAGCCAAUCUUGUUUCCUUUUUUUAUCUCUAGCUAUUUGCCCCCUUUCUUUCUCCAAAUCUUAAUUGUUUCUUUAUUUUCCAAAUCUCAACCUCCCACUUCGUUAAAGAAAUUUCCAUACUUCUAGCCCCAAACUUCUUUGUUAGCAUCAAAUUCUGCAACUUUUACUUGCAUUUGGAGUAAUAAUCUCUCCAUUUUCUCCAUCCAAAUUCAUUAUUUUGUUUUUGUUCGAUAUGUUUUAAAAUCAUAAUAAGUUUCACAGAAGAAAUCUUAACUGACCAAAUCUUUCAUUUUAUAGUUUGGGGUAAUAUUUCUUUUCAUUUUGCAAAUUUAUUGUGAGAAAAAAAAAACCAUAGGAGUAUAGCUUGGGAUAAGAUGAAAGAAAAAUAAAAAUUUCACGAUAAAGAAGAAGAUAGACAGCUAUGGAAGUUGAGAUUAAUUUGGGAGUAAAGAAAGAAAAUUAGAUAAAAAAUAAAUAAAGAAAAGGUUGAAUAUUGACAUUAUGGACUAUGGAUAAAACAGAGUGGAGGGGAGAGGUGUCACACUAUAGACAAAUAAUAUUGUAAUAUAUUCGAUUGUUGAGAGUUCAUUUUAAAACUUUAGAACGAAACAGACAUCCAAUUCAAAUCUUAAUACCAAAAGUAUAUUUUACCAAUUUUUUCUUCUUUCAAUUUAGUUCUUUAAAAAGUCUCAAUUUAGUUUUUUUUUCUUUCUUUCUUUUUUCUCUCAAUUUAGUCUAUGAUGGUCAGUGAAUAAUAAUGUCAAUAAAAUUUCUAAGAAGAAAAGAAAAAGGCAAUCUAAGCAAACAAAAAGUAGAAAUUUCAACCAAUUUCGUAAAAACAAGUAGGGAGAAGAAAUUAGAAACUUUCCUUUUUUAAUGACUUUUUGUUUCUUUUAAAUGUUUUCUACCAAUGUACUAAUUAAUAUAAAAGGAACUUAGCUGUAGCCAUAUACAAGUUCAUGAAAUUCAAAAAAUAAGUAUCAAAAUGUCAGUAAUAUAAAUAUAGUUUAAACAUAAAUUUGUUAACUUAUUUGAAAAGAAUUUUUACUAAUUGAACUUUUUUUUUUUAAUUUUUAGUUUUUAUAAUUUUUCCACCAAUAUCUAACGUUUUAUCAUUAAAAACCUUAAUAAAAACUUGUUUAUUUACAAAUAAAUAAUUUAUUAUUUUCAAAUAAGCAAACAUAUUUAUGUUUUAGAAAUAUUUAUCAAACAAAUGCAAAUCUAAUAUCAUAUUAUCACCUACUUAAGAAUUAAUGGUUAAAAACCUGAAUAGCAAUGACUGCAGCACGGUUAUGAGAGACUGGCAAUUGAGGAACAAGAGGAUGAAACUCUGAAACUUCCCGAAAUCCGUUACCAGAAAGAUGAUAAAAGUUGUCGUCGGACUCCGCCACCGUCAUGGAAACUCCAUCGCCUUCUGCAAAUUCAAUGAAGGGUACAUCAGAUUCUGAUGGCCAAACGAGGUUGCCCGCCAAAGGAAGAUAGUGACGAAGAGUAAGAGAGAGAGAGUUCUUGAGCUUCGGAACAAUAACAUCGUGAAACGAGACCUCAUUCGAUGGAAAUUCGUAGAAAAAAAGACGUUGGAUUGGAUGAAACCUAAGCCACAUCAAAUCAAAGAAAGUGAGGGGAAGAGAUGAGGGCGCUGCCGCUGUCGGAGGAGGGGAGACUUUGCAGACCUCAAUUAGUUUCAGAGAAGGAAAGUUAGCCAUUGGAAACAAAAAGAAAUUGAGAGGAUAAUGGAGUAGAUUGUUUCAAAACUUUGGGGGUGCUUUAAAAGUCCAAAAGCGACUAAGAGAACUAAGAAAAUACAAACCAUGACGUAUUGGCUUUCGUCUUUCCUUUUUACUCGUCGGAAUGGAAAAUCUUCUAGAAUUUUGGAAAGUAUAUCGGAAAUAUCAUUUUAAGAAGUAAACCAAAAUAUAUUAUAAAAUGUUAAUCUGGAUCUACCAUGCUCUAUCUUGUAUAUGGAUUAUAAUAUUUUAUUCUAUUUCAUAAAUAUUUUUAGUAAUUUUUAUAUAAUAUAAGAGUAUAUUUUUAAAUAUAGCAAAAUAAACUAAAAUAUUUAUAAAAUACAACAAAAUUAUAUAUAUAUAUGAUCAUUAUUGAUAUUGAUAGAGAAGAAAAUUUAUUAAUAUUUAAAUUGAUAUUAUAUAAAAUUUUAUUAUAUUUUGUAAAUAUUUCAACCGAAUAAUAUUUUUAAAAAUAGUAAAAUAAAUUAAAAUAUUUACAAGUUAUAGCAAAAUUUUAGAUUAUGUCCGUGAUAGUCUUCUAUCAUUAUGGUAUAUAAAUGACUAUCAGUGAUAAAAUUUGUUAUAAGUUGUAAAUAUUUUGUAAAAUCUACUAUUUUUUAAAAGUUUUUUUUUUUAUUUACAAUAAUUCUAUAAGUGUCUACUCCAUCUCGUUUUUACCAAAAAAAAAGUAUAGAUAUUUUGCCAACUUUUAUAAAUUAUCUUUUUUAGCAUGUAUAUUUCAAAUGCAAUAUUAUACCAAUACCCUUCCGAACUUCAAUUCAUAUUUAGUUAUCUUUAUAUGGUACGAUUAUUUAUUAAAUAUAAGAGAAAUACGUUCGAUUAUUUUUUUAAAAGUAAAAUCAUUUAAAAGAAAACUCAAGAAUGAUGAGAAAUGCAUUAAAUAUACAAAAAUCAAUUUUAAUUUAGUAGGGUAUUAAACACAAUUAUGAAAAUUAAUCAGAUGAGACCAUAAAUUAAUUAAUGGUCGAUUUUAGAAAAAUCAGAUACAUUGAACUAAAUCAAUUCCAAAUUGACAUAUGUGAGAAUUAAAUAUACAAAACCAAUUUUAAUUUAAGAUAAAUUAGAAAUCCGAUUCAUCUAGUUUCAAAAGAGUUAAAAGAACAGUGUUUACUGUAAUUCAACCAUUCCUUUUUCUUUGUUUUGUUUCUUUAAAGAUAAUUGUUUAAUUAUUGGCUAAUGUAGCCCUAAGACGGCAGUGGGUUAGUCGUCAUUUGAACAAAAUGAUGUUAGGUAAAGUAAUGAGUGUUAUUGCUAUGAAAACUAAUGAGGAAUAGAGAAUCAUGGAACGAUACAUUUAUUAUUAGAAGUUACACCGUUGAUAAAUUUACUAUAGGUGACAUCGAAUGUGGGUCAUUGUUAGGAUAGAAAGAAAUAAAUUUUGUGUAGUGAUCCGUGGCGUGGAAAACAAGAAUUCCUUCUGCUUAGCCGGCAUGGAAGUAUGGGAAUUAACUUAAAAACAAAAUAAUAGUAAUUAAAAAAUAUCUUUGGAUUAUACAAUUGUAAUUAGAAUAAUAAUAUAAAGAUGAGGUUUACAGCUAAGUUUUCUCCGUCUUUCAUGUCGUGGAUUCUUCUGUUUCUAUAUUUUUCAAAUUGGAUUGGAUUAGCAACUUAAUAACUAAAAUUUCUAUAUUUUUCAAAUUGGAUUGGAUUAGCAACUUAAUAACUAAAACAGUAUUUCCAACUCAACCCUAUUGGAUUGUUAGAUUUUGAGAAGAAGAUGGUGAAUGUGAAAGACUGAAAAGGAGAUGUUGAACGCCAAAGAUGAGAGGAAGGGUGUGAGUUAAAGAGAUGAGGCGGUCCUACUUUUUUUCUUCCUUUACUAAAUUAAUAAUAUGUAUAUAUAUAUAUAUCAUUAAUUCAGGUAGGUUAGAUUGAACUAAAAUUUACAACUUCAAACUCAAAUCUAACCCAACACAAAUUUUAAACUAACUCAACACAAAUUUUAAACUAACUCAACAAACCGUUAUAAUAUGGAUUGAGUAGUGUGGACUAUUCAGAUACACGAAAAGGGUCAAAUAUGUCACAAUUAAUAACAUCCAAAUUUUAAAUUGGAGAAUAUUUUUGGCAAUUUUAGGACAUGUUGUAAAUUGAAAGAAUAAAAAUAAUGUUCAUAUAUAAAGUGUUGUAGGUGUCGUCCCACAGUGAAUCUAGAAGAGGUUGAAAGAAGAUAGUGUUUUAGUUGUAGGUUGAUGGAGGGGAGUUGGACACUUUAGCACAUAAAAGACAAAGCAUGGAAAGAGAAGAAGUUGGAUUUUGUUAUUUGAAAAAGAAAAGAAAGAAAAAAGAUAAUGAUAAUAGUGAUAUUAUUAUUUUUUUAAAUAAACAAGGGAUGGGAUGCGUGAACUUCAUCUUUCUUUGCUCUUUUCCAUUUUGCAAACCUAAGCCAGCUGUCCAUUUUCGUUCAUCGUCAGCCAACAUCUGACCACUGCUCCCCUCUGACGAACCUCAGUUGUCCACUGCACCAUCCCCCACUCAGUUGGAUUUUGUCAUUUGUCGCACCUAGUUGAACGCGUCUAAUCGUCUCCGUUCGUUUCUCACUCAACCGAACACUUCCUUCACGCCACCAUUCGUCUCUUUCUUCACGCCACCAUUCGUCUCUUUCUGUCGAUGAAGUCUUCCUCAGUCUUCCACAUGUAAAUUAUCGGUAGUCGAGCUGUUCCAAGCCCAUCCUCUUUGUAUCACUUUCUACUCCAUCCGUCAAAUUCGGGUCAGUUGAAGUUGAACUUGUAUUAAUAUUGUAUUUAUGUUGAUUUGAUGUGAUGCGUGGUUCGAUCUCUAAGGCCAUCUGAGAUAAGAAAAGAAAUAGAUGAAAAAAUUAUUAUGAAAAAUGGAGGAUUAUGAAAUGGAAAGGAUUAUGAAAUGGAAAGGAUUAUGAUAACCCUUGCUUGGAAAAGGAAUAAGUGAGAAGGAUUACGUGGAAAGAACUAUGACAAAAAUAUAUAUAUAUAUAUAUAUAAUUUUUUUUAUAAUUCGUACUCUUGUUUUUUUAAAAAAAAAUUGUAUUUUAAAUCAAGUACACAAAUAUUCAUAUUCGUUUUAAUAAAACAUAUCCAUCAACAACAAAAAAAAAAAAAAAACUCUCCAACCAAUAGUUACACAACAAAAAAAUGACAUAAUUUAAUAUAAUAAGUAAACCAACAAUAAUUUCAUUAAUCUUUGCAAUGUCAUCAACAAUUACAUAAUUUCAAUCCAAUAUAGUCAAUUAAAAUUAUUAUAUGUGACCUAUUCCAAAAUCAACAAUAAUAAUAGUUAUUUUAUAUAACCAAAAGCAUGUGUGGUAUACCAAAACUAAAGUCUAUCCUCUUGUUAUACCAAUGAACAAAAGCUCCAAAAAUACUAAAUGCUCUUUGCAUCAGCUGAUAAGCAAGAUAAAAACCGGGUUCUCCUGAAAGAAAAAACAACAAAACAACUAUAAGAAGUUUUAGAUCCAAAACAACUAUUUAUGAUGGCAACUCUAGAUUGAUUAGGAGAUCAAGAGAGAAGAAGAUGGAGGGGCGUUUUUGUAUAAAAAAAAGCUUAAAUCUAACAUAAAUAAUAUUCACCAUACCAUACUUGGCCUUAAUAUCUCUAGAUCAUGUACCAACCAUAUGUAACUGUAAUAUCAGGCUAAUAAAAAGAGAUCUCAAUUUUCAACAAAUACAAUGCCAAUAACAUUAUAAAGAUACUGCACCCAAUAUCCCAUCCAAACGAAGUACAAUUCAGAGGGUUGAAAGUUAUAAACUUUAGUUACACAAACUCUUUUAGCUAGUAGCUAUAAUACACAUACAUAUAUACAUACACACACAUAUAACAGAAUAAAAAACUUUGGAGGAAAAUAAAAAAUUAAAAGAGGAUACCAAAUUUCUACCAAAAUCAAUUCAAGAAGGAAGACACGGCAAACCAGUAUCUAAUACUCAAAUAAUUUAGAUCCCAGAUCCAUAAAAGAAAUCAGAAGGACAUACCCAUGUAGAAGUACAAACAGAAAAUGACUGAUGCCUCUACUCCAUUUGUUCUCUUAAAGCGCCAAUUAUAAGAAAGCUAUCAUAAGUGAGAGAAGUUAAAAACUUAAACGAAGCAUAUAUAUAGAUGAGAUCAUUCAUACUUAACCAACUGGAUCUAAACACACAAAGAGACAAUCUACAACUUACAGGAAUAUCCGUAAGAAGAUCUAUCAAAGCACUUGAUGUAAAACAUACAACACAGACAACUGCUAGACCACCAACCUGCAUGUAAUACAAUUAUUCCUGAAUCUUGAGAUUUAUUAAAUUUCAGAUAAAUGUCCUAUAAUGUAUACUUCGUGGAUAAUAUCUUUGAUUUUAAAUUAUUAAGCAAUUUAAUCUUAACGAAUUUCACGUCCACAUCCAUACAAAUUCAAGAACUAACACUUCAACUAACAUGAGAGGGAAAAUAAUUACACGGUAAUUAUAUAUAACUUGAGUCAAUUAACUUCAUCUCUGAAGAAGCUUCCCCGGAACGAACUUUUUUCAACUAGACAAACAAUCACAGGAUGUUUGAUUUAAAAUUUAUGAUUUUAUGGAAUUAAAAUUAAUUAAAUAUUUGUGGGUGUUAGAAUUUAUGUCCUAAAACUCGUAGUUUUUGUAGUUUAAAAUUUAUAUUCUAUUCAAUAAAGUAGUUAUUGGGGACUUACGGGUGAAAAUAGAAUAAUAUAAUCUUGAAUCCAAUAUACUAAGGUCCUGAGGCUAUCUAGUAUAGACUUAACUUUAUGUACAGACAUAAACGUGGAUCAAGUUCGAGUAUAUAACCCAAACAGUCUAAUAGUGUAUGAAUAAGUUUGGACGUUUUAUUUUAGUAACAUUAUGGAUGCGCCUGCUUUGAAGUUAGUACAAAUGAUGUGAUCCUGAAUCGUUCAUGUAUGGAGACAUGAAAGUGAAGGCGUCCUAUGUAAAGAGUUUACAUAAGACUGGAACCAUGAAAUAAUCACUUUUAAGUUAUAAUACUAUUGACUGUAUAAAACUAACUAUUUUGAUUAUUGAUCACCUAGGUAACUUAAUCUUAAUCCUAAGCUAACUAUGAAUUUUUUUUCACACAUAAAAAUGUCCUUAGAUCUUCUAAGGUGAGGACAACUAAAUGACGUUGGCUCAAUAAGCCUUCCAUUUCAGGGGUAAGACCAGGUGCGCCGACUAGGAAUAUAGAUAGUCCUACUUGCGUUAUAGAUAGUAGAUAGUAGAUAGGUCUUGAAUAAGGGGCCCCACUCUCUCAUUGGUCCAAGAGGGAUUCCAUUUAUAGGUUAGACCUUAAACCAAUUGUUCAAUAGUGGAUUAGUGGAACUUAAGGAGCAUGAUGUAAUCUCGAAAGUAAAAUGGUAUUUUGACCCAGUCGAGAUUACAAACAACCUGUGAAGGAUGAUUAACUUACUGAUCAUGACACUACAAAAAAGAACCAUCUACUACGACAGUUGUUUACAUUAGAAAAUAGAAGGGAGGAAAAAAAACUGCCAUAAAAGGUAAAAAUACGCGUUUUUGGCGGGAAAAGACGAAAUUUUUCGGAUAACCUUUUUCGCUACAGUUAUUUGAUUUCGUAGGCAAAAAAGUCAUCUCCAAACACGAAGAUGACCAUCUCCGAACGACACUCGUUCCCAUCAUCGUCACCGCCACCACCCUCUCAUUCUUGUCUCCUCACUCUAGCACCGCCGCAACCUCCUCUAUCGGGCAACAAAACCUGUUCUGCCGUAACCUGUUCAAUUCGUGCAUGUCAUCAUAUAGAAGUAAAUUUGGUUAAGCUUUCUUCUUUUGAACAUGAAUAGAUCUCAGUGCUGAGAAUUUGCACGGACAUAUGUGUGCUGGAUUUUGUAUGUUCAUCAUUAUUAGCAAGAAGUUGCGAUUUCCUUUCACCACUAGAGGAUGUGAUAGUAUAUUUCGGUGGCUGCACCACUUAUGAUUUUCCCGUAGCUGUGGCCAAGACUUUAGGAGAUGCCAUUGCUCACCCACAGGUACCCAAAUUCUUAAUUCAUGGUUGAUUUUCAUACAAAUUUAGCUUCUCUUAUAUUUAAUAUUUAAUAUCAUGAAAAAUAACCGUUUUGGUUUUGUUUUUAUCUUCUUCUUUAUUUCUCCCUUUUUUUGUCUCUUCAUUUGUUCAAACCUUAUUUUUAUUGGAGGCGAUAGGACCCUCUGAAAUCACACAUCACUUGCUUUACUUUAUUGUUUUUCUAAUUGUUGUAGUGAAUUAGAAAGAUUCUAAUCAGUGAUACAAUACAUUUAUUUUCUGGUUUAAGCAAUGUUAGUAAUAUUGGUUCAGGAGUUGAUGCCACAUAGGCCUGUACAUAGCAAGGGGGAGAGGAGCCAAGGUGGUAUCAGAGGUUUCAAUUAAAUCGCUUCGAGGAAGCCACUUAGUUUAAUUAAUUAAGCUAAGCUUUGCUCUAGAGAGGAACAUAAAGACCUCUUGUGUAUGGAAGCACAUUUAGUUCUCAGUACAUGUAACCAUGAACCUGCAAAAUCCACAUUUUUAAAAAGCUACAAAAACGAUAAGGAAUAGAAGGCAAAGAAAUAAGGUAUAUCUAUGCACACACACUUACCUCUGUUUUCUACAUAUUUUAUGGCUUUGGUGUUUAUUUGUAAACUUCACAAGUCUAAUCUCUCUAACAUUUAAAUUUGAAGGUUUAUUAAUUUAACUCUUUUUUUAAAAAUCUUAUAGUGUUUUUGCAUUAAUUGCUUCUAAAUAAAGGGAGGAGGAAGGUGAUUUGCUCUAUAACAAAGGCACAAAUAAGCUCUAAGAGACCUUUUUUUCCCUUUUCCUUUCAAGUAAUUUUCUUUCAAAGAGAUGACUUAAUUAAUAUUGUCAAUUGAUAUGUAUGCAUUGUGUAUCAUCUAUUAUUAUUAUUAUUGAUGGAAUUUUGACUACGGUGAUGUGGUUUUUUACUCUUCAAUUUGGAGAGGUUAAGUUGUUGGCGUUAUGUGUUAGUGUAAAUUCUUUAUUUGUUGCUUAACUCCUACAAGAUAUUUAAACGUGAAAGAGAUAAUCUAAUUCGUAGCAAAUGUGAUUUAGCUCAUGCAAGAGGUCCAGUCCAAUGAAUCAAUAGCAAAUGCAUGCACAACCAUUUCCAAAAUGAUCAUUAUUUUGAUUCAUUUCAUAGUCACGAUGAUUUCUAUAUAAAGAGAAAACUUGGACGGUUGGUUCAUUUUAAAGUCUGAUCCCAAAAUGUUAAGUAAUUUUGUGCUGAUGUCAUGGUUGAGUGAAGUUAUGACUGUUUGAAAUUGUUUAUUGUUGGGCUUUCUUUUUGUUCUUUUCUGUUAUUAUUCUUUUUUGUAAUUCUGUCAUUAGAUGGUGUUUUUAGCUUUAGCUUCUGUUCUUGGUUUGUGAGUUUUAGUUCCAUUCUAAAGGUAGUUUCAGGUUGCAACAUUUCAUAUAUUAGUGAAAGGUUUGUUUUUUUAAUGAGAAAGAAACGACACUUGAAAUUUCGAUUUGAGUUUGUGAUGAACGAGUCAUUGUCUGUUGUAAUGCAGUACUGAACUUUUUAGCUUCUUGGAUGCCAUAGACCUUUAGCAAACUGUCAAUUUGGAAGAGCAUUUCUAUUUCAAACUGCCAAAGAUCAGCUAGUUCUUUCAUUUUUGUCAGUCGUAGUUUUUUUUUUUUGUCGAUUUUGACACUUGAACAAGUUUUUUUUUAUGAGAAUACAUCAAGAAUCUUGCUUUUAAGGCUUCCUCUUUUCUCUCUCGCUUUAUUUAAAUGAUAAUAAAUGGUUCAAAUUAGUUUAUUACAACAAUGAUUUGUAUGUAGUUUCAUUAAUAAUGUUAGUAUAUCAAAAUUCUUGAUUAAUUAAUUGCAGUUCAAAGAAAGUGUUAAACAAUUUGCUCAAGAUAACAUUGCUCCCCAUGCCACAAAAAUUGAUCAAACCAACUCUUUUCCAAAUGUUAGUUGGAAGUCCUUCUCUAUAUGUUUAAUGGGUUGCUUUGUAUGAUUUGACUAAAAUGUAUUAUAUUGUAGGAUGUUAACUUAUGGAAGCUCAUUCGGGACUACAAUCUCCAUUGGAAUUACAACAUCAAGUACAUGUCAUUUAUCUUGUUUGUUAAUUUUCAGUUUCUUUUCUUGGGGUUUGUAGGCUACUUUGGUUGAUUCCUUUCUAGCAGAUCUUGAUGAACUCUCUGAUGAAGACAAAUUUCAGGUUUGUAAAUGCGUUUUACUUCUCCAUGUAAAUGAAGUAAUAAUUAUGUUGGUUGUAUGUAAGUGAAGUUUUUAAUUUGUUUGGUUUAGUUUAGUGGCUUUAAUUAGUUUUGUUAAUUUGAUGACUUUAAUGGUUGUAAUGUUUUGCUUAUUGCUUUUAGCCUCUCACUUUUAAAAAAUGGUUUGUUUCAUUUCCACCACUCAAGUGUGGUAAAUGGAUUGAGUGAAAGUUACAAGACUCUGCACGGAUUUCUCAUAAUACUUAGUUAUUCAGAUACAAAAUUUAGGAUACCUGUUUUAUAGUGUACUUCAGGAAGCUAAUGAAGCAUUUAAUUCUUUGUGUUUCUUUAGGAAUCUCACAUGUAACUUAAAGAAUUGAGUAAUUGGUCAGUUGACUUCCUUACUUGCUGAUGUUGGACUUGACAUGCAAGAAGCUCAUGCUUUCUCCCCUGUUGAUGGUUUCUCUUAAUGUUUCUAUCAUCGAUGGUUGGCUUUAUGAGAUAAGAUAUAAUUUAGGCAUUUAAAUUUUCUUCUCUAAUUACUUUCUGAUCAAUGUUUGGAAGUUCACAAGAGCAAUUCAUUCUAACAUCUUUUACUAUUUUAUUUUAAUAUGGUAUACUGUUCUUCAUAUUUGGGAACCUGUAAAUUUUAUCUAAUUAUGACAUAUGAUUGUUAACUAAUAAAAAAAACUUGUAUGUCUAUAAAACUUUGUAUGGAUUGAUUCUGUUGUGUAUAAUUUUUUUGCUAUUUUUUGAAAUCUAGAUAAUGUUUUGGAGAUGGUUUUGUUGGUAGAGGAUUGAUACUAUUGGGGGGUGUUUGAUAAUGUUUGAAGGAAUUCUUGAGUUUUUUUAUGAGAUUUGAUUUGGGGGUGUUGUAAUUUUGAAGGUUGUGUGUGUGAUUGAAAUUGUAUUUUGUGGAGGUGUUUUUAGAGAUGAAGAUGGAAGAUUGGUAUGCAAAUUAUAUUGUAUUAUGUUUUUUGGUAUGGACAACCAUAGUAUUUACUUCCUUAUAUUCAUGUGGUAUUUGUAGGUUCUAAUGGAGCUGAAAAAUUCAUAAAAUUUCCUUCAAAGAAGCUAAUUAGGGUCAUCAAAAUACACUGACUGUUUUUAGAAAUGAAGGAUUUGACCAUGGUUCAAGCAACAAAGAAUAUUUUCAGAGAUAAAGGCUAUAAUUCCAUACUUGUAAAUUGUUCAAACUUGAUUGGAAAUGUACGAAUAUUACAAAGUGUAUUAUAACGCAUAUAUAUUAAAGUGUCGACCAUUUGUUUCUAUAUGGGUUUUAUAUAUUAUAACAUUAUUGUCAUUCAAAUGGUUCGUGUAAUGGCGGAGCGACAAGGAGAACAGGAAAAAACGGUAGUAAUUAAGAAAUUCGCAACAUGAAAUAAAUGUCAUAAUAUAUGAAUUCGUUACACACCAUAAUUGUCGUCAAGAUUAAAACAAUGACAUUUUUGUUAUAAAAAAAACUGCCACGAUUGCCCUAUAUUUGACAGAGAAAAAAUGUCGUCAAUAGCAAAACAAUGACAUUUAUUUUUAAACAAACUGUCACGAUUGACAUAUUCUUGACAUUUAAAAAAUGUCAUAAUAAACGAAUUUGCGACAUUUUUUUUACUGUCGUUAAUACGCAAAUGAUGACAAUUAUUUGUUGUUAUAAUAUAAAAUGUGACAGUUAUUUGUUGUCAUAAAAUAGUAAUUAACGACAUUUAUUUUCUGUCAUGAAAAAACUUAUUGUGACAGUUUUCAAAAACUGUCAUAGAAGGAUUUUUCAUAACUCCUGAUACUAUGACUGUAAAUAACUAUCACAGAUUUUAUUUGUGACAGAAAAUAUUUGUCGUCGUAGACCAUUUUUGUUGUAGUGUGGUUAUAUCAGAUGGACAUUACUAUAUCUAUAGUGAUCAGAGGAAUGCAACUACAUAACUUAUGUAGCAUGACUCAUUACUUAACAAAUGUUGAUUAGCUCGGUCUAAAUGGUUUAGUCAGUUAAUCUCAGACCGUUGGAGCCCAUGAUCUAUUGGUCCAUUAGGUUCCCCUACUAGCACAUAUGGAAUUAACUUAGAACAAUAUGUUGGAAUAAUUCGAAUUGUUUGAAUUAGGUAAAGGGAGAGGAACUGACGAAUAUAUGUGAUAUAGUCGUCAGUUAUAAGUUUGAUAUAAAGUUUUAUGUUUAAAUGUUUUAAAUAUUACAAAUAUGAAUACAAAUUCAUAUUCGAAAUAUCAAAAUUGAUGGAAAUAGUUAAAGUUGUAAAUGAAGGGAUAAAAAUCCUAUGGCAUCGGAAGAAUUUACUUUGUUCGCUCUUCUACAAGCAUUAAGUUUUUUAUGGAUAUUACGAGGAUGCUGUGUUCUUUAGUUUCACUUUGUGUAACUUUAAUUUAUUACAUUUGGAUUGUGCUGGAAAGAUUAAUGAAUCUUAGAUGCUGUAGUUCAAUGCUGAUGAUUCACUUUUUGACUUUUUUCAGUUAAACUAAAACAUAAUGUUUUGUUAUUUCUUAUUGCUUAGUGCCUAUGUUACAUCAUUUGCUGAGAAGAGAUACUCUGUUUUUCUUGCUAGACACAAUUCAUCUUCUUCUCAGCCUUAUACUUCAAAUCUCACCACUCCUUAAUCCAUUUUCAUUAAAAGGUUGUUUUUCUCUCAUUUUUUACUUUAUGUUAGUGCAUCGUUUGAACAAUUUUCUUGCUUUUAGUCAUUGAUAUGCUUGUAGGUGUUUUAGCUUUUAGUUUUGUUAUUGGCUAUUGGUUUUGAACUUUGUGUGAAGUUCUGUAAUUAAUUUAGCUGAGUUUGUGGGCUUAUCCUUGGAGGUACUCGACUACUUGCCUAGUGUUUGAAGUUUAUCAUCUGCUUAGUGAACUCACAUUUAGUUCUUCUAGGUGCCUUAGAACCGAGUUACCAAAAAACUGAUGCAUGUCCUAAUCAUUGUUGUUUGUAUAGAAGAGAGUAUGCAAACAUGAAAAAGUGUCUUAAGUGUGGUUUGUCAAGGUGGAAGAUUACUAAAAAUACAACGGUUGAAAAAAAGUGGAGUGGCUGCCAAGCAAAUGUGGUAUUUUUCAAUAGUUCCAAUAUUUAUAAGAAUGUUUAAGUGCUUUGAGAGUGCUAAGAACUUGUGUUGGCACGUGAUCGAUGGAAAAAUCAAUGGUAUUAUGAGACACCUAGCUAACACUUCAUCUUGGAGGUUGAUAGAUCACAUGUGAUCAACCUUUGGGUCAGAACCAAGAAAUCUUCUUUUGGGUUUGUCCACUAAUGUAAUUAACCCAUUUGGAGAUUUAUCAACGAACUACAGUUGUUGGUCAGUUAUUACUACAACAUACAACCUUCCACCAUGACUGUGUAUGAGAGAGAAGUAUUUGUAUUGACAAUGAUAAUAUCAGGUCCAAAGCAAUCGGGAUACGAUAUCAAUAUGUACUUGACACCCUUAAUUAAUGACCUAAUGUUUUUGUGGGAAGAUGAGGUUCGAUGUUUUGAUGCAUACAAAGAAGAAUAUUUCACUUUGUGGGAUGGCUUAUUGUGGGCCAUUUAUGUGGUUGUAGUGUCAAGGAAUACAAUGCUUGUUCAAUAUGUGGAGAGGAGACUACCUCAAUAAGACUACAAAAUAUUUGCCAAGAUAUCAUACAUGAAUAUAGUAGGAACAUUGCUUGAUAUACCAGAAAAAAAGUAAAGAUGGUAUGAAUACUAGACUUGAUCUAGUUGAAAUGAAUAUUAGACCAAAAUUGGCACCAAUGUGUACAUGUAGUAGAACUUGCAUACUCGCAACAUACUAUACAUUGUCAAGAGAAGAGAAGUACUGGUUUUGUAAGGCUUUAUUCAUGCUUUAUUCACCAUUCUUGUUCAAAUAUCAGUAGAAUAUUGGACAUCUGUAAUUGCAUUGCUGGCUUUGAAGAUAUUUUGAGUCAAAUUUGUGGUUAUUUUUGCUUGAAGAAUUGGUCCUUUCUAGUUUUGAUUAGUCUAUAGAACUAAAUAAUCAUUGUUGCAUUUUCUUUCUUGAUCUUUCCUCUUCAUAUUAAUAAGAUUAGGGAGGUUCUUUCUAGUUUUGAUUGGUCAAUUAAAUUAGAUAAUCAAUUCUAUCAUUUUCUUUCUUGAUCUUUACCCUUCAUGUUAAGAACAUUAGUGGAGUUUUAUAGUUUGUAUUAACCUGUUAGGAGUAGUUUAUGUUCCAUUUAUUAUAAUUUGUUAAAUCAAAUUAUUGGACUGUACUUCAAAACUUUCAAUGUGGUUUUUACUGUAAUUCAAAACUCUCAAUGCAAAGUUUAGAAAUUUUUGUGUCAUUUGUUGUAUGCUGUUGUAGUUCAAAAAUUCUCUAUUGUAGUUUGAAAGGGAUUUUGACAAGAAAAUGUGUUUGGACAAUACCAUCUUGUCAGGUUCUAUGUUUCUUUGGGCGUCAGUGUCAAAAUCUUUUUGUAAUUAUUCGUCUUGUCUUAUUUUGAGUCUCUUUCUUUGGUGGAAUUCCUUUUUGUGGGCUUCAUUUUUUGAAUGCUCUUCCAUUCUUUCAAAUGCACUACAUUGUUCACGUGAUCAUGUCUUUGAAUGUUUUUGGUUUAGUUACAUCUUGUUGGAAAUUGCACUUACGAUUUCUGGGGUAAUUUGUGUUUGCCACCGAACCAAAAUGCUCAUCCUUCAAUUCUUAAACAACUCUGUUGAAGCAGUGAAAUCAUAUUGGAGCAACUUAUUGAUCCAUAGGACUUUUUGUAGAGUUGGUAGCAAAAUUUUGGUUGAAAUGUACCUAUUUUACCCUUGUUGUAACUAAAAGAUGUUUGUUUAUUCUAUCAUUGUAAACCUUUUACCAACAGUUGUACAAAUAUUCCAAGGUGUUUUAUAACGUAUAUAUAUUAAAGUGUUGAAUGUUUGUUCAUAUGGAUGUGUGUUGUAUCGUACUUUGUGAUUGAACUGGUCCGUGUAAUGGUAGAACGACAAGAAAAAUGGAGAUUGCCCAAGAAAAUAGGGAAAGAAGAAAAGGACUAAUAGAGUAACAUUUGAUUUAAAAAAAAAAAAUUGUCAAGGUAGAGGUAUUGUUGACAGUAAAUUAUAGUCAUGCUAAGUGUUUUCUUGACAUUUAAUAAUGUCAUGAUUGACAUAUUCUUAACAAGAAAAAAUGUCAAAAUAUAAGAUUUCAUGACAUUUUAUAAUUGUCAUUAGUAUGCAUGUAAUUGAAAGUCUACAUCAUAAGUGAUUCAUGUUUUGUGAAGUCCAAGACUAAAACAACAUUAGGUCUUUACAACAUAGUGUAGUCUUUCGGAGUUUGGAUUCAGUUGUUUGAUACGAAGAGUGACGAGUUUGAAAGCUUAAAAAGUUCUCAUGAUACAUGUCUUAUUCUAUCUUAUGACCAUGCUGAGCAAUUGUUAGUGGUAUUGGUAAAAUGGAGUAGUGAGUUAUUUAUUUUGAAAAGCACAAUAUUUUCAAAUUAAAUUUCAACUCAGUUUAAAAGAACAAGUCCUUCAUUUAUCAAACUCAGUCCUGGAGCUAAUGUUGAUAUCUUUUCAAAUUUGAUUAAAUCGAGCCAAGAUCUAAAGUUGAGGUCGAAACUUGUCCUACAAAUCCUUUAUUUAUCAAACCUAGCCCUAGAGCUAAGGUUGAUGUUUUUACAAAUUUUAUUAAAUCGAGCCCAGAUUUGAAGCUGAGGUCGAAGCCUGCCUAACAAGUCAUUUAUUUAUCAAACCUAGCUCUAGAGUUAAGGUUGACGUUUUUUCAAAUUUAGUUAAAUUGAGCCCAAAUCUAAAGCUGAGGUCAAAACCUGUCUGUCAUAUCCAUUAUUUAUCCGACCUAGCUUUAGAGGUAAGGUUGAUAUUCUUCUCAUUUUAUAGUUUUCUUUCUUUUUUUCGCUCUCUAAAAAAUGAAAAAUAAAAAAAUGGCCCAAACACCUUAUCUAUUUUCUUUGUCCACCUUUAAAUAUUUUCAUGAUAGAUAAAGGAGACAAGUUAUAAAUACCGUAUUUUGUCCUACAUUUUUUAUUUUUCAUUUAUAUAUUUAUGUUUAUUUUUUUUAUAAAAGAAUUUGAAUUUAAUUUUUUUAAAAAAUAAAAAACAAUAAAAUCAAAAACAAAAUAAAAAAUAAAAAUAAAAAACAAAUAAGUUUUUUUCCCUUGUCACCAUGCUUCUAUUCUCUCACUUUCUCUCCAAUAGUCUUCACUCCAUUUCACUCUGAUCUAAAAAUAAAACGACCAAACUUGUCCUAUAAAAAGAAAAAGGAGAGAUUUUUUAGUGGAAGAUGUUGAGAUUUUUUAGAGGAAAUGUACACUAUUUACUGUAAAAAAAACAUUUUCAUUUACUUGUCAUUUGAGAGGAUUGAGAAAGCACUUUCUCGAAAUCAAUGGGGUUUCAAUUUUAUUAGAUUUAAGUCGGACCUGAAAUUUAUUGUGUGUUUUUUUAAAAAAAUUCAUGGUUCAUGAUUGACUGUGUUGAAUUUUUUUAUACUCAUUUGACAUACAACUUUAACUGUUUGGCAUUGUUUGACAUCCUACUUUAAUUAUUUGAUACUCAUUUGACAUCUGUGUUAAUUACCUAUUUGGCCUCCUAUGUUUAUUAUUCAUUUGAAUUAUUUGCAUCUUACACUAAUUAAUUAACGUCCUACCAUCCUAUACUAAUUAUUUGACACUCAUUUGACAUCAUGUGUUAAUUAUUCAUUUGAAUUAUUUGCAUCAUGCAUUAAUUAAUUAGCAUAUGUGUUAGUUACCCAUUUGUCCUCCUGUGUUAAUUAUUUAUUUAAAUUGUUUGCAUCCUAUAUUAAUUAAUUAGCAUUCUGGCAUCUGGUUUAAUUAUUUUGCACCCAUUUGGUAUCAUAUGUUAGUUAUUUGGCACGCGUUUGACUUCCUAUGUUAAUUAUGUUAAUUAUUCUUUUGUCAUUCUACUUUAAUUAUUUACAUUUUGCAUUAAUUAAUUAGCAUCGUGCGUUAGUUAAUUAUUUAACAUCCCAAUAUAAUACAUUAAUUACGCUCUCCUACGCUAAUUAAAUAUUUUGCAUGACAUCUUGCAUAUUUUUGCAUCCCGCUUUAUUUUGCCCUUAUUUAUUUGUUUUCUUAUAUUAUAUUUGUAUUUAUUUUAUCUUCCACGUUAUUUUAUCUCAAACUUUCUAUGUUAUUUUAUCUCAAUUUCUUUGUAUUAUUUUAUUAUUUUUUCUCAAUCUUUUUGUAUUAUUUUAUGUUACUGUACUAUUUUAUCUUAUCAUAUUACCUUAUUUAUUUUUCAAUUAUUUCUCAAAUUUCACAAAGUUUUUUCAUUAUUAUUAUUAUUAAUUAUUUUCUAAUUUGAAUAUAAAAAUUUAAAUCAGAGAAAAAUCUAUUGUUUUUUUAUGAGUUUUAUAAUUAAAAUUCCAUGAAUACAUGAAAUUUCUUCGUUUGAAAUUUAAUUAAUAAAUUGUCUUUAACAUUAUAAAUCAUUUCAUACUUCUAAACGAGACUUAGUAGUGUUUGUUAUGAAUUUAUUAAUUCUUAGAUACAUAAAAUUUAUCAUUGACACCUAUGAUAAAGAUGAAAAUAUCAAAAUUUGUUAUUUUAAUAUUCUUGAGGUGAAUAUAAAAAAAAUAGUAUCUUUUGAAACAAAAAGAAAUUUCAUUCUUCUAAUGGCUCUUAUGAUAACCAUAAUCAUCAAAUUCAUGCUUAGGUUUUAUUUUGUUCGAUGUGAAUUGAAAAUCAUGGAACAUUUAAAAAUAACAAAAUAAAAAACUUUGUUUAAUUUGUGAACUUUAAUUGGAUAACAAUUUUAUGGGUGCUGUAGGUGCUAGCACAUUUUCAACACAUAAUUAUCAAUGCAUGCUUACAUACACCAUUUUUUAUUUUGUUGGUGACGACUCCAAACCUACUUAUUUAUUAAAAUUAAAUAAACGGACAAUAGGCCAUGACAUUGAUAAACAUAAAUUAAAAAGAAUUCCUCUCUUAAUAUUAAAAUGUGUUUCUUCUCUAAUUAAUUUGAGUCAAUUCUUCACACUCAUUCUUGAAAGUUAUAAUUGUAAGUUACACCUUCAAAUUAAAUAUUUUGUUGCAGCUUAUUAGGUUUUUUUUUUUCCCCUUAAUGGCUUUGAUUGAGUCUAAGGUUGUACAUUGUUAGUUGUUUUUUUUUUCAUUAAUACAUUGUGUGUGUUCAUACAACUUCCUGUUUUAUUGAUCACAAAAUGUGAAAAGAAGUUAUUUAGAUAAAAUGUAGAACUGAGUCCACUAUAAUUAACAACAAACUUAAUCGUUAAAAGGAGUCCACAUUUUUAGAUGAUUGCCAUUAAUUUAUUAUUCUUUUUUCUAGUGGUAGAUUCAGAAAUUUUACAUAGGGACAUUUGACACUAUAUAUUAAACACACUACAAAUGUUAAAAAAAUAUCUUGAUGUUUCACUGAUGCUCUAAUAACAUCAACUACAUUUGUAGCAAUAAAGAAAGAUCAACAAUUUUAAUAUGAUUUUUUUUGUAACGUAAAUAUGUGAAUUUAAAAUUUGCAUCCAAAAAAGAAAAGAAAAGAAGAAAGAAUAAUACAUUUUUCAUGAGAUAUUGUUGAGGAAGUGAAGGUUUGAAUUACGAUUUUGUUACAUUUUUUUUUUAUUUUUUUUGGUUAGAUAGCAAAUAAGGUCUAGAAAAUAAGUUAGGGUUAUAUAUGAGUUUUCUUUUCUCUUUUUAACAUAUUGUCUUCCAUUUAAGAAAUCAAAAUAUCUUCUAUUUGGAAAAUCGUUGAAAUUUAGAAAAAAAAUUAAUAUUUUCUUUUUAGAAAAUCAUUAAAAUUUAGGAAUAAACUUGAUAUUUAGGAAAAAAACAACUAUUGAUAUUUGAGAAAAGAAAUUUAUUGAUGUUUUGAAUAAAAUCUAUUUUGUAAUAAUUUAGGAAGAAAUUUGAUAUUUGCGGAAAAAAUUAUUGAUAUUUGAAAGAAAAACUAUUUUGUAAAAAUAAUUGUUGUAGAUGAGAUUUGAACUCACAAUCAAAGGGUUUGCAGCAUAAAUAAAAUUUAGGCAAAAUGAAACUAAAUUUAAUAUAUAUUGUAAUCUAACACUACAAAAUUAAUAAAACCGAUAAUGUGAGGGGAGCGCGUCCCUCUUGGCCCCUUAAUAAAUUCAUCCUUGCUUUUUCCUAUAGUGAACAUGUCCUUGAGUUACACCUUUUUUUUUCUUUUCAUACAAUGAUUCUCAUCUUUUUUUGAACGUAGGUUUUUAAAUUUUGAGUUAAAUUCUAUAUUUUCUAAAGUAUAUUUUCACCUUGAUCAAAAUGGAUAAUAAGGCAAAAAAAAUCGUCUUAUAAACUUAAUUUCUAAAACCCAAAAUGUUUAGAGGGGCGUACAAACAAAUUAACAAUAAAGCAACUAUGGUUAGGAUUUAUUAAAUCAGACAUACAUAUAUAAAAACAAGUCUUAUAAACUACACAUCCACACAAAUGGAAUAGUACUUUAACCUAUUAAAUUAAACAUUUUUAUUAAAAAUGUAGCAAUACCCAAAAGACCAACAAAAUCUUUGGAAAUUAACAAUUAUCCCAAUGAUUGAUCAAUAAAAUAAGAUUCAAAGCCUUGAUUAAAUAUAGCAACAAAAGCUUCCAUUUCAUCCCUUUCCAUAACAAUACCAAUCUCCAUUACUGCAUCACUAUUUCUAGUAUCAGUCAAAGAAAAAAUAUAUGGUGAUUCAGCUGACACAAUCUCCACUUUCUUUGGCUUUCCAAAUCCAAAAUCAACAUUAUAAACUCCAAAUCUUGGUGAACCUGCUAUAGAAUUGAUUUGUAAUUUUGAAUAAUCAUUUGUCAUUUCUUGGCUCAUCAUACCCCAAUUCUCACACCCAUUUAAAGGUCCAUCAUCCAAAUUUCUAAUAGUUUUUGAAAUCUCAUCACAAGCAAAAAUUAUUCCAUUUUCACUCAAAAGUUCAAACCUUUCAUUAACAACAAACCCAGCAACCAAACAAUUCCCAAAGUAAUUCAAUGGCACUUGUGGCUUUAAACGAGUUCUUGCAUCAGCUACAAACCCAAACCACAAUUUUCCUUCUUUUAAACCUUCUAAUUUGGCUGUACAAACACAAAGAUAAGCUGUUACUAUUGCA
This 46703-nucleotide long non-coding RNA is filed under the name Cucumis sativus (cucumber). RNAcentral describes it as "long non-coding RNA (CSAT_LNC000344)". Lineage: Eukaryota; Viridiplantae; Streptophyta; Magnoliopsida; Cucurbitales; Cucurbitaceae. The record is from RNAcentral.